AAUUUAAUAUAUAAAGUAAAAGUCUAAUUUGAUAGCACCAAAGGCUCGGUGCUAUUAAUAGUAUAGUAACCAGACUCUAUCUUUUUUACUCUGAAAUUAUCAAAAUUAGCUCUGAAAAUAUUAAUUCUCCUAUUUAUAUACCUAUCUAAUGUAUAAAUGUAUCUAAUCUUAUUUAAAAUAGUUAUCAUCACAACUAAAUUUAAAUUUUAUAAUUAAAUAAAAUUUUAAAAAUAUUUGUGUGCGGCAUGGAAUUGCGGAAUCCUAGGAAGAUGGGGUGCACGUGGACCUGCGUGUGGACCGGGUGCAGCCAAUAUUUUUUUCACUGCGGCAAUGGAUACUCCCAAGUCUUUGGAUUUUCACUAACAAUACAUUAUAAGCUAUUAUAAUUAAUACAAUUGUAAAAUAAUACAGCGGUUAUAAUUAAUACAAUUGUAAAAUAAUACAGCGGUUCACAUUACGUGUAUAAAUUAGUUAAAAAUUUAUCAGUCGAGGAAAAAUAAAUUAUAAGCAACAUUUGUAUAUCAUACACUACAUAUUAGUAAUAAAGCACAAAUUUUAACUACAAUUAGGGCGUGUUUGGUUUGCUUCUUUUUCACCCUGGAAUCGGAAUUGGAAUGGGUGAAUCCGUUUGUGGGUGUUUGGUACGCAGGAGUUCCAUUCCGAUUCCGAUUCCCGAGUGGAAUGGAAAUCCCUCAAUCACCUUUUUUUUUCAAUCCGGCCUAGGCCGGAUUGGAAGUUGAAUCCAGACGGAAUGGAUAUUUAUUCGAAUUAAAUUUAUUUUUUCAACUUUUUUAAUUAAAAUAUGAGUUAAAUUUUAAAAAUUAAAUAUAUAAUUUUAAAUUUUAAUUUGAACUUAAAUUAAAAAUUAAAAUUUAAUCAAGUAUUUNAUAAAUUAUAAGCAACAUUUUUAUAUCAUAUAUUUAUCGACUAUUAUUUUUAUCAUAUAUUUCAUUCUUACUAUUUACAAUGUAUACAAUAAUUUUUGUAUAAGAAUUAAGAACUACCUUUCUAAAUUAAAAGUGUACGUUUAUGAUUGACGAAAAAAGAAGAUGAACUAGAUGCAAGUAAUAUUAUGUCUUUAUCUAUAAUAAAGACUAAAAUAAUAUUAUUGUUAAAAAUUAAGUUAUGGAUAUUGAAAUCAUAAGUCUAAGGAUCAAAAUGAAACAUGACUAAAAAUUCAGAAAAUAGAAUUGCAAUUUAAUUAUCCUUUUAUAACCAAUUAACAUAUUUGUAAAAUUAUGAAAAAUAUUAUCAGUACAUCCACACAGGAUUGUAAAUUUUACAUCCUUACAUCCAAAGAUUUAAAAAACCUUUUUAAUUUUUCAAUUAAAAAAAUGAUUAAACAAGUGAGCCGGUUCAGACCAUAAAGAGCAUAGAAUUUAAAAUAUAUGCUGCUUUUGAUUACAUAUAUAUAAACUAAUAAAUCAAAAUACUUUAUAUUAUAUUUACUAUUAUAUAUAUACAUGCAUUAAUAAUUUAUAAGAGCAAUAAUAUUUAGAAAAAUUACCACAGUGCUCAUUCUAGUUAAGCACCACAUCCAAGUAUGGCAGAGUAAUUAGAGUGCACAUUAAUAAUAUCAACCAAUCUCAUCAACCAAUACAUACAUAAAAUUAGGAAUAAUUGCUUGAAAAUAUCCGAUUUAUCCAUAUUUUUUUUUUCUUUCUAAAAUACCCCUCAUAUGUUCCACCGUUAUUACAAAAUACCCCCGCAGUUAUCUUCUGUUAAUUAAGCUAACUUGGGUUAAACGUGAGUUAAACAUCUACCACAAUUAAAAAAAUUUAAAAUACCAAUUUUGUCCUUAACUUAAGGGCAAAUAAGAAAUGUUGGUGACGGUACAGAGGUAUAUUAGAAAAGACCAAAAGUCAAAAUAUUUUUUGUGCCCCUGACUUGAAGGACAAAUAAGAAAGUCAGUGAUGGUGGAAGGAUAUAUUUGAAAGGGCAAAAUAGUAAUUUUACAGAGAUAACAGAGUUAAUUAACAGAUUUUAACUGUAUAUUAGAAAUAAGUUGAAACGUAGAAAAGAUAUUUUCAAUAUUACCCUUCUAAGAGAGGUAAAUCGAAAAGUCGAAAUCUUUUCAGAGGUAUAUAAGCAAUUGCCCUAUAAAACUAAAAUGUAGAUACAAUCUAUAUCUCAGUUGCUAUAAUUCAGCGCUUAUAAAUUUUUUUUAAAAAAUAAAAGAUACAGAGACACAUCAUUGGUGCGUCUUAAUACAUUUCGAAGCGAAUGGACGGCAAAAUUGCCUUGUGCAAAUGGAAAAAAAAAAAAAAAAUUCUGCGAACUAAACUACUAGGAAGAACCUAGCAAGAGGCGCGCCUGUUAUCGUGGAAACCACACCCCACCAGGCGUCUCCGGGCUCCUGCGCUGCGGCGACGUCGGCUGCAGCGGGGAGCGGCACAGCGGGCACGUGGCGCGGCCCGUCUCGGCCCACCGAUCGAUGCACGCCGCGUGGAACGCGUGGUCGCAGUUCCCCAGCUCCCUCACCCUGUGCUCCCCCGCAAACUCCUCCAAGCAAACCACGCAAACGGCAUUUUCCUCCUCCUCCUCCUCCUCCUCCGCCGCCGCAGCGGUGAGCUGUUUGAGCUGCUGCUGCUGCUUCUUUGAGAAGAUUUCGAAGUAGUGCACGACGCGGAGGGUCUCCGUAACGGCGGCGGAAGGAGAAGCGGUGGUCGCGGGGGAAGGAGGAUGCGGCAGCGGCAGCAGCAGCGGCAGCGGCAGGUCGGCGGCGGUGGUGGUCGGCGAUGUUGCUUGGAGGUAGAGGGCGUAGUCGUCCCAGGGAGGGAGGAGCGUUGCAUGGGGGUAGGGCUUGAGGCCGAGGACGUGGAGGAGGUACGAGAAUGAGAAGCUGAAGCAGUCGAGGAGGAGGAGGAACAACACCAGGGGCUUCGGGAGCAUCAUCACGUAGCUGGAGCAGGGGAGAAACCCCAUGGAAUGGAAUGGAAUGGAAUUAAUUAAACGCAAUUUGCUUAAUUGGAACCGUGACUGUGAGUUCUACACUACUACUUAUAUAUAUAUAUAGUAGGAGCUUGGAAAAGUUAUUUUGUUAUUACUUUUUUUCUUUUUUUCUCCUAGGUAGGUAAAAAUAAAAUUGCAUAUAAGGAGACCCCCUGUAUUAUGCGCAGUUCUGAAAUGGCCCCUCCAUAAUAAUAUUUUGAGUUUAAUCAAUCAACUUAUAAAUUUUACUAUCAAUAAUAGUUUAGGCAUCUACUUCAUUACGAUCUAUAUAGGUGAGGGGGUUGUACAUUUUUAAAUACGUGUGUGUGUGUUACCGUGUCACAAGAAUGUUCUAUUGCUGGAGGGUCAAGCAAGUCAUUGGAAAGACACGGCCGACCUGCUACAGCUUUCCUACGCUUUGUACCAGAAAUAGCUGCAAUUCUCCUACUAGUUAAUUUGUUGCCCCAACCAACGUGAACACGCACAGAGCAACAUAAAAAAUAAUAAUAAUAAGAGUCUGGCUAUGGUGCUUGUAAAAUUAUCAAGUAUUUGGUGCUUGUAAAUUUUUUAUCGUUAGAUCUACGCCUUUGAUCAUUUUCACCCGUUAGAUUAUACUAUUCAACCAACCACCCACUCAACCAUAGGGGGCCCACAUCAUCUUAACCGCACAUUCCUUAAUCCAAGGGCUAAAAACUUACAAGUACCAAUGACUUAUAUUUUUAAAAACAUAGAAGCUCAAUUCAUAAUAAUAAUAAUAAUAAUAAUAAUAAUAAUAAUAAUAUCAGGAGCUCCUCAUUCAAGUUUUUUUUUUUUUUUUUUUUUUUUUUUGAGAGAGAUAGAUAGUACGCUAUCCGUUUCGUUUAUUUCAUUUAGAAAUAAACUUAGCUAGAAAUGUAAAUUAACUAGGAUUCAAACUUGGAUCUCGGAUACCAACCACCAAGCCCUUUACCACCACUUGCUCUAGAAACGGCGGGUCUCAUUCAAGUUUAUUGAUUCCGCUUUAAGUGGUCGUCUAAUAUGAUGCAAAAAUUUGAAGAAAUUUUUUUUAGAUUAGAGUAAACCUCUAAAAUUUGAACGUAGAGUGAAUUAUACGGCUCACUUAGUUAUUUUAAUGGAAACUCGGUGAGAACACAUCCCGUGUAACAUUGUACUGAUGGGUUCCAUUUCUACGCAUAUAGCCUCUGUGGUUUUAUUUUAUUCAGCCACUUAUUUUUAAACUACUCGUUUGAUAGAUAAAUAAUAUUAAAAAAUUAUAAAAUUUUAUUUUUAAAUACUUUUAGUAAGAUAGAUCAAGUCAAAUAAAGUUGAUCGUCGAUUUAGAAGUCGCAUCAUCGAAAACAACUUGAUCGCACGGUAGCUUCCGUAAUAUAGCAGCCGGAUGCUAGAACACACUUACAUUAAUCAUGAUAUGUACUGUUGAAAGUAUUUAAAUAUUAAAUUUAUUAAUUUGUCAACAUCAUUAAUUUACUUAAUAAAUAAAAGGCUUUAAAAUUAAAAAUUUUAAUAGCUGAUGUGAUAGGUUUGUAAAUUUACCUAUGCAAAAUAAUUCAAAUUAAGUAAAAUUUUGCUAACAAAUUCUUUUCGCUAUAUAAAAUAAAAUCAAUACCUUGUUUUGAAUUUAGUGUUGUAUAUCAUCAUUGUUUAUAAAAUUUUUAUUUUCCAUUGUUCAUUUUAAGACUAUUUAUUGUUUAUUAAAUAAUUCUGAAAAUUUACAAGAUUUAAACUCCACAUGCUUUUAAUAAUGUAAGUCAUGCCUAAGGAAGUUAACCAUCUAUCAUCGGAAAUGAAGUAAAAAUAUCAAAACCUCAAUACUUCCAAAGUAUUGCAAUUGGACUCCAUAUAAUAAUUAGUAAUUGAUUUAUUAUCAUGAGUUCAGCUACUAUAUUAUCGAUAGUACCAAGCGUUUGGUAUUAUCGAGUUUUCCACCGUUAGAUCUAUUCCUUUGAUUAUUUUCAUUCGUUAAAUCAUACUAUUCAACCAACAACAUACUUAAUCUUAAGGGACCACUAUCAUUCUAACCACACAUCCCUUCAUUUAAGGCCGAAAACCUACCUUGGCUCAACUAAGAGUCGUCAUACACUUUCGGCUGGUGAUUGGCUCUGUCAAGAUUCGAAUGACAAGAUGACAGACUAUGGCAGGAUAGACAAGUAUUACAUCGUCCGAUGAUCUUAGACUGUGUGCUUGACAGGGCUGACAAGAACGUCAGUGUUUAUUAUUAUAAUUUUCAAACAUGACAUUCAAUUCAAUAAAACAUCAAUUUCGAAAUGCUGAUUUACUCCUAAGAGUAUACCUUUUAUGAGGUGAUCUAUAACGUUGCACUUGCAUUACAUCCUCAUGCAUGAUUCAGAACUUAACUGUGAGAGGUUAUUUCAUGCAAUUUUAAUAAACCACGUUCCAUAAAAUUGUGUUCCUUCUAAAGUUACCUAUCUCGCUUUAUAAAGUACUCAUGCCCAUAUAUAUAUAUAUAUAUAUAUAUAUAUAGCAAGGCUGCUGUGCUCUCAGGAGCACGGAGGCCUCCGUGCUCCUGAGCCGUUUUCGAUGAUGGAAUUUUCGAAUCGACGAUCGGCUCCGUUAGACUUGAUCUAGCGCAUUUGAAGUUUCUAGAAAAUAAUUUUUGCGAUUUUUCGAUAUCAUUUACCUAGCAAUCGAAAGGAUUCAAAAUCAAUAAUUUUUAACGGCUGAAAAUAAAAAUCCUAUAAAAAGUGGUGAUAUAGCAUUAAAAUUUUCGAUCAGAAAUAUAGAUCUUGUUGUAGAUAGAAUAAAGAAUUUUCUACCAAAAUUUCAUCUGAUUUGAAUACUUCUACACCGUUAAAUUUGAAAACGGCAUAUAUCAAUCAUUAAAAAUUAUGGAUUUUGAAUCCUUUCGAUCACUAGGUAAAUGAUAUCGAAAAAUCGCAAAAAUUAUUUUCUAGAAACUUCAAAUGCGCUAGAUCAAGUCUAACGGAGCCGAUCGUCGAUUCGAAAAUUCCAUCAUCGAAAACGGCUCAGGAGCACGGAGGCCUCUGUGCUCCUGAGAGCACAGCAGCCAUGCUCUAUAUAUAUAUAUAUAUAUAUAUAUAUGUUUUGCUCCAUCAGAUUUAAUUUUCAUAUAUAAUAUUUAAUUGACUAAAUUUUUGUGCCAUACCAUACACAUACCAUACACUAUUCCAACCAAUAAAGCUACAACUACACGACUACAAUUUGAGUGGUUAUUGACUCGCUUAUACCACUAACUCCACACUAAUUAGACUAAGUAAAGAAAUAAAUUAAACUAAGUAAGAGACAAAGCAGUUAAGCUAAGUACAGAAAUAUAAGCAAUUGCUUUGAGUAGGGAGUUAAUAAAUUAAGCAGUUACAUUUUAUCUAUCUCUUUUUAACUACCAUAUCAAAAAGCAACCCUAAUGCACAACAAAUUAGGUAAGAAAUAAGUAUUAGUUGAGAACAAGGAUUUGGGGAAUUCGACAGCGUCAGAGGUCGCGACAGAUAGAGAUGGAAUAGUACGAAUUCACUACAAAGAGGGUCUCAAAUUGCAAUCAUAACUCACUAAUGUUUGGAAGAGAGAAUUAAUAGUCGCUAUUUUGGUCCUCCGAAUCCAGAACAAGAUUGAAUAGAACAAAAAUAAGGAAAUGGUAUUGGUUAAGAGUUAGGAUUUCGCGAUUCAGUUAAGAAGAUUGUUAUCAAGAAAGAUGAAAGCUCGAAUGGUAAGUGACUGAAAGUUGUUUCUUGAAAAGCAAUUCCCAAAAAACCAACAAUGCAUUGCAAACAAAAAUAACAGAGAAACAAAAGAAUACCUUGAUUCCCCUUAACUUCACAUUUUACAGGAAUUAUUAUUAUAUUUAAGAUCAUAAAUUGAACUGUAACUAAAGAUGCCAGCAUAAUGCUCUAACAUCAUCAAAACCUCAACGGAAAACAGAAACUGGGUAGAAACUAGUCGAGUAAGCAAGCAAAGCAUGAUAUUAUGACAUGCAUGCAAACAGCAGCAACACAUAAAGAGGAAAAUUGCUGAGCUUCAGAUAUCAGAAUCUUUUUACAUAACUAUAAAAAAUGCAUUUUGCUACCUCUUCAGAACAAAUAACUUGCGAUAACUUCCCAAGCCUAAUCAAUGUCUAUCUCCCAUAAAGAUUAAUCCAUGCUUAUAUUUGCCCAAAUAUCGCAUGCACCCAGCCAUUGUAUGAACAAGUGAUGUUCUUAUGCCCUUAUUCCGAUUUCUAUCUUCUUCGACUCUUUUUUCUCUCUUAGGUUAUUUUUAUUUCUUGAACUAGUUUAAUCUCGAAACGCGAACAUACAUCAUAGUCAUAGGAGAGUUUAGAAUACAUCUACAUGAAUAGCUUUUCAAAUGGCCCCUUUGAAUGACUACACUUCUUUUCCUCUUUCAACGAGUAACAUCAUUUCCUACAAAUUUCUAUUUUCCAAACUCAAGAAGAAGAGAAAUUUUCCUUUGAUCCGAAAAUUCAUUCCUUUGAGUUAAAGAAGAGGAAAAGAAAGAUAGCAGGAAAGGACUAUGCGGAUAGUAAGCAAGCAGAUUUAAUGAAGAAAGACUCGACAUUGCUGCAAAAGAAAAUAUAUAUAGAAUUCUACAUGCUAUUGACAUUACUAAUUAGGUGACAAACAUAUAGAUAUGAGUGAAACUUGUCGCUGACCCAUGUACACGCUAUAAGACGAGAGAUAUCCUCCUGUUAUACCGAAGAAGUAUGUAUAUGCUAUAAGUAGAGCAGCAAAAAGCAAAUCGCUCUAUUUAUUUUUACAGCGUACGAGGUAUAAAGCAAGAGAGCGAUGGCGGGAAUACGGUUUUUCUUUCCAUGUGUAUACGUAUAAUUUGGUCUCCUUUUUAACCUUUGUCGGUGCCUUAAUGACGACAGAGUGGAUAAUUCAUAAACAGCCGCAAAUUCUGUUACUGCAGAACAUGUCAUACACACAGUAUCAAGCAAUUCCAAGCUCUCUCCAAUGACUUAAAUCAAAUCGAUGACAAUUAAAAUCAACAGGCAAAUCCACAAACUAAGCAGGUAGACAGAUUACUAGUACCUGAUUCAAGAAGUAUGCAUGCUUCCCUGCAGUUUAGAACGUCUACUGGGCACAACAGAAGCCCUACAGCAACUUAUAUACGUAGUUAAAGCAACCGAACUUCUACUUUGGUAAAAAAGCAUGAUCCUAUUGCAUUUCAAGAACAAGUAGGGACAAUUCUGCACCAAGAUGGGCCGUAAACAAUCCGAUUUACAAAGCAUACAUUCAUUGACUCCAAAGCGAAGAAUCGUAAGAAGUGCGCUCCAAUUCUACUACUAUUCAAUUCAAUAACAAUUCACACUCAGACGAUUUAACACCUCAUCCAAAUAGCAAUCUCAUCUUAGCAGUACGAACACAAUAGUUAAGUGUCCUAAGCAUAAAGAUGUAAUAUUUGGAAGGAAUGAAAUACCUUGUGGACGGAGAUGUGGUUGUCGUUGUUGUCGUCGUCGUUGGUGGUCAGACCCUGAGCAUCUGGACUUUGUUGGCGAAGGCGAUGGCGAUCCAGUCGGGGUGGGCGGCGGACCACUGGAGCUGGUUGAUCUCGGCGCCGGCGGUGUAGAGCAUGGCGGGGUCGAUGGCGNGUCGUCGUCGUUGGUGGUCAGACCCUGAGCAUCUGGACUUUGUUGGCGAAGGCGAUGGCGAUCCAGUCGGGGUGGGCGGCGGACCAGUGGCCGUCGUCGGCGGCGGAGCAGAGGGAGCGGGGGGCGGCGGGGGACCAGGCGACGGCGUUGACGGGGGCGGCGUGGCGGUGGAGGUCGGCGACGGGGACGGCGGGGGAGCGGAUGUCGAGGACGACGACGCGGGCGCUGUCCAUGAGGACGGCGGCCAUGUAGCGGCGGUCGACCUUGUUCCAGGCGAGGCGGAGGAGCGGGGUGUCGGGGCGGGGGCUCUCGUAGAUGAUGGUGGAGUGCUCCUUGUCGCGGAGGUCGAAGACGCGGACGGAGCCGUCGGCGGAGACGGAGGCGAACACGGCGGCCUCGCCCCAGGCGAUGUCGUACACCUCCUUGUCGUGGGCGAUGAGCUGCGUCUCCACGGCGCCGCGCUCCACGUCCCACACCGUGCACGUCGUGUCGAUGGAGCAGGUGCCCACGCGCCGGGGCUCGGCCUCGUUCCAGUCGAAGGACGUGAGCGGCGCGCAGAAGUCGCUCGACUUGCUGUUGCUGAGGACGCACCGGAGCUCCACGGCGGGGGAUAGCGACGGCGACGACGCGGGGUCGGCGGGGAGGCGCCAGAGGCGGAGGAAGUCGGAGGAGGAGGCGAGGAGGGGUUGGGAGGGGCUGGGGUGGAAGAGGAGCUUCGUCGGCGGGUAGGGGUGCUCGAAGGAGAGGCCGGGGUCGGCGCGGAACGAGAGCGAGUCCUCGUCGAAGGAGACGAUGUCGACGCGGUUGGAGUAGUCCUCGACGAAGGAUCCCAGGGCGAGGCGAGGCGAGGACGACGACGAAGCAGCAGCAGCAGCGGAGGAGGAGGAGGAGGACGAGGGAGCGAAGGCCAUGGCGUAGACGGGGUGGGGGGACUCGAAGGUGUAGACGAAGGGGUUGGUGGAGAGAGGGGACUCCUGGGUCGAGCUCUGCUGCUCCAUGGCUCCCACGACGACGAUGGGAGGAGGAGGAGGAGGAGGAGGAGGAGGAAUCAAGCGAGGACGACGAGCAAAUUAAGAAUAAGAGCAAGGGGGGAUUUUUUCUGCAAAAGCAACGCAUCCGACGGUCAACGAGCCGGCUUGGUCAACCGGCACGUGCCACGGGGGAGUGGCGCCCACCAUGGGUUUGCUUAAAUCUCGGCCGUUCAUCUGAUAGGGCAUUUACCUACGGAUUGCGAGUUCGACUCAAUAUUUGGCUCACUCAAGCUCGACUCGAAAUUAAAUGAGCCGAGCUUGAACAAAAAAAAAGGCUCGAAAUUUAUUUUAAGUCGAGCUUGAGUAUUACUCGACUCGUUCGAAUUAGGCUCGAAAAGCUCGAAUAUAUAUAUAUAUAUAUAUAUAUAUAUAUACACUAUGUUAUCGAAAGUAUAGAAGAUCUGGUGCUUUCGAUUUUUUGAUUUUUAAAUCAACUAAUUAUUUUUUUGAAUUAAUACUAUUAUUAUCUUGUAGGGACCACCCAAUCUUAUGGGAUAUUAUUUAAUCCUAGGGAGGAUCGCAAUCAUCCCAAUCAUACAAUUCUUAAUCAAAGGGUCAAAAAUUCCAAAACAUCAAAUCCUCUAUAUUUAAUAGCAUAUGUAGUUCUCCACACGUAUAUAUAUAUUAUAUACUAUACUAUAUUAUAUAUAUAUAUAUAUAUAGAUAUAUAUAUUAUAUAUAUAUAUAUAUAUAUAAAAAUAUAUAAUAUAUAAUUAUGUUUAAUUAUUAUAGGUGAUGUGAAAUAUUCUGAAUUUAGUUUAAAAUUGGACAAUAUUGUUGGCCAUAAAACAAACCAUAGAACAAUAAAAGAGCAAAAUUUUACUAAAUUUAUGUAUUUUCCUUUCUUUUUUCUUUCACAUAGUUACAUAUGAUUGGUUAUGUUUAAUCAAAUUAUCUAAUAAUUUAAUUAUUAUGUUGACUGAAAAUGAAAAUUAAAUAAUGUGGAGAUUGUAAGGCGGAAAAAAAAGACAUGUGAGGCUGAAAGAUUAGAUAUUCACUCAUUAAUUUUUUUAUGAUAUAUAACCAAUAUUUUAUGAAAAUAUUUUAUACCUUUGAACUAUUAGCCAUAUUUUGAUCAAAUUAUAGAUAAUCAUUUUAUACAAUUAAAACUAUGAUCGGUAUGAUGUUGAGAUUUCACGCGGCUCGAGGGCUCGAGCUCCUCCGACUCGAAAUUAGUCAUCGCUCGAGCUCGGCUUGAAUUAAAUUUAAUCCCAUUUGAGUUUAUAAUUAAACUGAAUUAAUUUCAAAAGUCGAUAUUUGAGCCUAAGAUAAGCUCGCUGCGAGCUCGGCUCGUUUCCACCCACUACCUCGACCGACCUCCCUCGGAGUUUUAUACGGGGGGGGGGGAGGGGGGAGAGGGGGCAAUUACACUUCAACCUUCUAAGAUUUUAAAAUUGAAAAAAUUUUAAAUACCACAUAUGUGAUUUCAAUUUUUUUUCACUUUAAUAUCUUAUAGUUUAAAAUAUAUCACUUUAGAAUCAUGUGGUUUCGAUUUUCUCUUUUCAUUAUCCUCCAAAUUAUUUUUUUCGUUAAAUUAGCGACAAAGUUAAAAUCAUAUUGUACUAAAAUAAAAUUUUGGUAAACUAUAGGGUACUAAAAUAAAUAUUCGAUAAAUUAUAGGUGAGGUAUAUGAAGUUUUUUAUAUGUAUGAUUUAACAGAGAGUUAAAGAAAGUGGCGACAAAAAUAAAAGAAAAAAAUCAAACCAUAAAAUAUGAAAAUUAUACACUUUAAACCACAUAAUACUAAAGUGAGAAAAUAUAAAACUACAGGAAUGAUAUUUAAAGUUCAACAUUUAAAAUAUUAUGAAGACGUCUCAAUACAUAUAAAUCUAUUACCAAUGCUUAAGCCUUAAAAAUAAGACAUCUAGGUUUUUUUAUUUGAAAACCAUACUUCAAAAUGUUCUGCUUUUUAAUUUUAGUAUUAUUUACUUAAAAAUAAAUGCAACGUUAUAUUUGUGUUUUAACUAGUAUAAUUAUACUAUAUAUAUAAAUGAGUGAAAGACAAGAUAAGUUUUGAUUUCAUAAAAAAAAAUCCGUCCUCAAAAUAAUGUAUUUUGUUGAGUACGGGCUUUUGUCGGUAAAGAGGAAUCACAAAUGAUUCAAGUAAAAUUUUUUGUAUGAAUUUUUGGAUCUCUCAUUAUUUAAUCUAAGUAAGAAUUAUAGAUUUAAUUGUACUAAUUUCAAAAGUCGAGCUAGAUAUUAUAAUAAAUUAAAAUUUGAGGAUUAAAAUUAAUGGUUAUAAUAUCCAACUACUAUAACUAAAUGCAAUAAAACUACAUCUAAUUGUCAAAAAAUUAAAAAAAAAAAAUUACAAGAAGUCAAAUGACUAAAAUGUAGUUGAUCUUUAAUUUGAGAGCACAUGGGUAGACCAUUUCUGGGGUUCUACUUAAAAAAAGAUUGUGGCAUGAUCACUCUCUUUCAAAGACCUGGUAUUUUGCACAAGCAAAAUAAAUAAUUUUUUUUAGAAAAAAUCAUUCAUGGUGAAUGAAAAAAAUAAGGACAAAUUUUACUUUGUCUCAUUGGUUUAGUUUAUUUUAUUAUUUUAUUAUUUUAUGGUUUAUAUUUAAUUAUUCUGUGUUUAGCUUUUUUUUUGUCAUCUUGAUAUUCAAAAAAUUAUGCUUAAUUAUUUUGUAGUUAUAAAGAAAUUGUACUUUGCUAUUUUAUUAGUAAUUGAUUUUUGAAUAAAAAUAUACACAAAAUUAUAAAUAGUUAAGUACAACUUUUUGAAUCAUAUAAUGAUAAGUACAAUAAGCUAAAUCAUUUUGGGUGCAAAUUGAAAUUUACCAAAAAUAUAUAUAUAUUUAACUCUUUAUUCCUUUUCUUUCUUUUUUUGUUGAUUUCUUUUCUUUUCAUUUUAUGGGUGUAGAACUUUUUUUAUUGAAAUAAUUAUCUAUAUACCUCUCAAAACUUGGAAAAUAUCUUAUUUACCUAUAAUUUUUUUUUUCUUUUCAAUAUACUUCUCAUAUGUUUCUCUGUUAUUCCAAAAUACUCAUGCGGUACUACUUGUUAAGUUAACUUGGUUAAACAUAAGUUAAAUAUCAACAAGAGUUAAAAAUAAAAAAUAAAAUGUCUCUUUUGCUCUUAACUUAAGAGCAAAUAAGAAAUAUUAGUGAUGCUAAAAGAAUAUAUUUGAAAAAAUAAAAAAUAAAAAAAAAUUUUGUGUCCCUAACUUAAGAAGAAAUAAGAAAAAAAUGUGACGGUGGAAGGGUAUAUUCGAAAAGGUAAAAUAGUAAUUUUAUAUAGAUAACGAAAUUUAACUCUAAAAAUAUAUUUAAAAUAUAUUAAAUCGUAAAAAAAAUAUUUUUAAUAUUAAUUUUCUAAAAAAAUAAAUUAAAAAGUCGAAAAUUUUUCAAUUGAACGGACAACGAGCACGGAAGGUAAGUUCACAAAUGGCACAGACUCUUACGGCGAUAGUUUGUGACUUUGACAAAACAAAUAGACAAUAGACCCUUUAUAGUUUAGAAGGUACUUGGCUUUUAUGUUAGUUAAUUCGCGAAUUAUUGACGAAUUAUCCAUGAUUUUUUGAAAAAAUGAAUUAAAUGGUCGAAUUCAUAUUUUUUGAAAAAUUCGAAAAAAAACAUGAUUUUUUGAUAAAAAAUACUUGUUCGCGUAUUAUACGCAUAAGCUGAAUUAUUCAGCCUAAAAAACGCGUUGCGCCCGCACGCGCUCCAGCACGCGCUGAUGGGCCGGCUGGCCCAAAACAGAAAAAUACAGAAAAAAAAAAAAAAAAAAAAAAAAAAAAUCUUUCUGAAUUUUUUACUUAAUUAGCUUAAUUUUGUAGCUAUUUAUUCUUAUAUUCUUAAGAAAUAUGAAUAUUUAUGCUAAUAGCAUAAAUCUUGAGAGAAAAAAAAUUUAAUUUAAUAGCCGAAUUUUUUAUCCCAAAUUUUUAAUUGGCGAACGUAUAUUAUCCGUAUAAAUCACGUAUCCGAAUAAUUGAUGAAUCCAUUUUUUAGCCAUAUUUUUCAACGAAUUUAAAAUUAGAAGACGAAUUUUAUUCGAAUUAUACCCGUACCGAAUUUUUGCCGAAUCUGAAUUAACUAACUAUACUUGGCUCCAAGUGCGGCUAGGAUGCUUAUGGAAAUACGGAGGGCUCCGUGCUUUCACUUUGUUUUCGAUAUUCGGACUUUCGAAUUGACGAUCGGCUCCAUUAGACUUGAUCUAGAGUAUUUGAAGUAUCUGGAAAAUAAAUUUUGCGAUUUUUCGAUAUCAUUUGCCUAGUAAUCGAAGUGGCUCAAAAUCAACGGCUGAAAAUAAAAAUCUUACAAAAUAUGAUGAUAUGACAAUAAAAUUUUAGAUCAAAGUUAUUGAUCUUGUUUUAUAUAGUAUAAAGAAUUUUCUAUCAAAAUUUCAUGUGAUUUAGAUAUUUCUACACCGUUAAACUUACAACCGGCUCACCACGGCCGUUAAAAUUAUUGAUUUUGAGCAACUUCGAUCACUAGUCAAAUGAUAUCAAAAAUCACAAAAUUUAUUUUCUAGGUACUUCAAAUAUUCUAGAUCAACUCUAAGGGAGCCGAUCGUCGAUUCGAAAAUCCGAACAUCGAAAAUAAUUUGGAAGCUUCUCUCAGCAUACCAGCCCACUCCUUGGCUCCUCUAAAAGGCAUGAUUUUUUUUUUUCUUUUUUUUGUAACUCUUUUGAAUCCAUUCAAUCUCGCUCGGUUGUGCCAGUAAAGCCAAUAAAUCGAAGGAAAAAAAUGCUGAUGCACAAGCUAUGACUAUGAGAGACCGACCGUAAGUUUACAUACGAUGCAAACUCGCAACUUUAUUAUCUAUUUAGAAAAAAUUAAAAGGAUGUGUUUGGUUUCUCAAAAAUACAUAAAAAUUUAUUUUUUUUAAAAAAAAUAAGAUUUUUUUUUGAGUUUUUAAGAUAUAGAAUUGGAAAAAUAAAAUUACAACUUUUGUAUAAAAUCUGAAGUUUUUAGAAAAAAUAACAUUUUUCAAAAAAUGUAAACAGAUAAAAAAAAAAAUAUUAUUUCAACCAAAAUUUAUUUUCUAGGAUAGUUUGCAAUGAAACAAACACUUCCCUAGGAGAAAAGCCGAUGUAAAAUCGAAUGAUCAUGUGACGUCAACACUGUUAACACUUCUGUCAAACCUGCUGUCCAUAUAGCAAGUAGUAAAGGAUUUGAUGAUUGAUAUCCGUGGUCCCAAAUUUGAAUCCUAGUUGAUUUAUAUUUCUAGCUAAUUUUAUUUUUAAAUGAAAUAAACGAAACGGAUAGCGUGCUACCUAUCUCUCUGAAAAAAAAAAAAAAACACUUCUAUCAAAAAUUUUAAGGGCUUUCUUUAUGUUUAGCAUCCUCAAAAAAUAUAUAUAUAUAUAUAAAUAGUCCUAGUAAAUUUAUAUUUAUAUAUAUAUAUAGUUCUCUCUUUGCCACGUGAGUGUCACGUUGACAAUUUUAAGUUGAACGUAAUGAAUCAAUCACCGUAUUCAUAUUCACACUUUAAUCUUUUUUUUUAACUUAAGAAUAAUAAAAAAUAUAAAAAGAAUGUGGCGAUUAAAUCAUUGUGUUCAAUUUAAUAACACCAUUAGACACUUACAUGGCAAUGAAAUGACUAUUUAUAUAAAUAUAAAUUUGUUAGGAUAAUACGUAAAAAAAAAAAAAAGAAAAAGUUUUGCGGGCACUAAAUUAAAAAAAAAUCCAAAAUUUAAAUUAUUGGAUCUUAUUUAAUUUUCUUUCCUCUAUUUCUUAAAUACUUUAUCCUUUCCACUCUCCCCCCAUCCUCUCUCUCUCUCUCUCUUUCUCUCUCUCUCUCUCUCUCUCUCUCUACUCCCGCGGCCACAGCCAUGGCGACCCCCCUCUCCCUCCCUCACCUCUCCUCCCCCUUCUCCACCAAAACCUCGCUCUCCUCCUUCCUCCCCCGCUUCUCCUCCCCCUCCCUCUCCUCCUCUUCUUCUCCUUCGUCCACGUCUCUCCGCAGAGGACGCUCUCCCACGGCCACUCCGAGGCCCCUCACCGUCAAAUCCAUGGCGCCUCCGAAGCCCGGGGGGAAACCCAAGAAGGGUAUCUCUCAAAUGUGUUUCCUUCGUUUUCCCUGAUAGCUGUUUCAUCCUUGCUCCUGUUCGUGCCCUCAAGGUGUUUGUUGUUUUGUCGCAGUGGUGGGAAUCGUAAAACUCGCUCUGGAGGCGGGUAAGGCGACUCCUGCGCCCCCAGUGGGGCCGGCGCUCGGGUCGAAGGGCGUGAACAUCAUGGCGUUUUGCAAGGAGUACAAUGCCAAGACCGCGGACAAGGCCGGAUACGUGAUUCCGGUGGAAAUCACAGUAUUUGAUGUGAGCUACCACUUGGUUAUGAGAAUUAAGGAAAUUUUGCUUUUGAUUUUCUCUCUAAGCAUCUUGUGUAAAGAUUCUAACUUUGGUAGCUUUUGUUUAAAGUUUCUUCUUUAUUGCAGUAGAUUUACUAAUCUACGUUGUCUAUGAACAGGAUAAGAGCUUUACCUUCAUUUUGAAGACUCCCCCUGCCUCAGUUUUGCUCCUUAAGGCUGCAGGUUUGUUUUUUUAAUGAAAAUAUGACGGAGCUGUAUAUGUUCUUCUUUAUAAUCUUUAAAAAUGUUCUGCAAAUACUUGUUUUUAUAAACCAUUGAUAUGCUAUUUGAAAUGCGUGUUAUCAACUUGUUUUAGGUUUAUUAUACAUGUUGUGUUCCUUACCGAAAGAUACUGCAUAUGCUCAUCGGAAAGUUACGCUCUUCUAUGAUUUAGCAUAUUAUUAACUAGAACAGGUUUAAUGCGUUCCCGUAUGUGUUAGCAUCUCUUUGUCAAUUCUUGCUUAACUUUGUUAGCGGAUUAUCGACAUUCCUCACAAUUUAAUGCUUCAGUGACUUCCAAUGUUUUAUGGAGAAGGAUCAAGAUAACAAAAGAUUAGUUUGGAUUAAGGAAUAAGCGCACCAAAGUUUGCAACCUGGACAGUACUAUUCAGAAAGAGAAGUAUAUAACGUUUGAUUUUCCGGUAAACCAGUUAUCAUCCUCUAUAAUUGAACGAAUUCAAUCCUUUGAGGAUGUGAAGUAAUGGAGAUCUAAGGAGGCAAAACUUUUUUUUUAAGUUGGUAGUAUGUGAUUUUUUUCUUCUUCUUCUGAUGUUUAGCUUGAUUUUAUGGCAGUCGAUCAUGGAUACAUAAUGCAUACAUUAGCAAUGCAUCUAAUUCAUAAUUUUUUUUCUAUUCAUUCUAGCAUCCUUUGUAUUGAAUCAUAUGCUGAACAAUGCCCUUUUAGGAAAUGAUAGAUAUCGUUAAAGGAAGUAGGAGACUAGUUUUUGCAGCAUAUUGGGGAUUCUGUUUUGAGCUUCAGCUUGAAUCCUCUGGAUGGAUUUAAAAGCCCGGGAGUCACUUUAAAAAGUAUAUUUAACCAACAAUUCAUCGGAAGCCCCAGUUUGCAAAACUUGCUUUCAUUUCAAAUUCCCGCCACAGCCAGGAAUUCUAACAUAUUGUUUUACAAACUUCUUGUCUCUACUUCGCAAUUAUCAUAUUCCAAAAUCUUGGAUAAAUUCUGAUUAAAUACGCUGUGAUACAUAUAAAUAUGAUUGUUACCCAAACUCUGCCAUAUAUUAGUGAGAGAUGCCAUGGAAGAUAUGGCGCGUUCUCUGAUUUCUUUUGCUGCUAAUUUCUUUUGCUGUUCGAGAUGCUUAAUCAGGUGCUGAGAAGGGUUCAAAAGAGCCGAAGCGAGAGAAGGUUGGGAAGGUAACAAUCGAGCAGCUGCGUGCGAUAGCAACGGAGAAGUUGCCGGAUUUGAACUGCAAGAGUAUCGAGUCGGCCAUGAGGAUCAUAGCAGGCACUGCAGCCAAUAUGGGCAUCGACGUCGAGCCGCCAGUUCUCGAGCCAAAGAAGAAAGCUAUUGUAUUAUAGCCUAUUCGCUGCCUUGUCAUUUCCUCAUCAAUUUUCCUAUAAUAGUGGAUGAAACAGUAGAUUGUGUAUUCGAAAGUUGCGCGGUGAAGCUGCUUCAUUGGUCUUCAGAUAUUUCAUGCUGCUUAUCAUUUAUAGAGUUGAUAAUCUAUCAGUAGCUUAUACAUGGCACAGCACUAUUGGGCUUGAUGUACAGGCUAUAUGAAGAGCCUCGGUUAGCGCUUGGUGUGGAGAUAUCAUAUAACGAAAGUUAUUCCCGCUAUUCUUUUGUAAUAAAAAGAAAAAUGUUUGCGAAAUGGGAUUGCGGGGGAUAACUGAGAACAGUUAUUGCAGGUCUUGCUUAGAAUAGCUGUACAUCUUAUUAUACAUAAGCUUCCAAGUUGAAGAUUCAGUUUGGUUCUGUACGGUUUGAUUUUUCAGAUUUUUUCUUUUUACUCCAUUUUGGUUCCUUUUUUUAAAAGAAUAACCAGUUUUUCUUCAAAAUCUGACCGGACCAAAAAGGCUCUCUAAAGCUGAUCAUGAUAUGAGACAAGGUUUUAAGUGUCCGUCGGCACGGGUCGUAUUCAUCAUGCCAACAAGAUACUGGCACGAUACAGAUUUUGUGCCGAUGGCACAUUUCAUAACUCUCUAUUCUUUAAAUUAAUAAAUAAUUUUUUUAAUAAAGUUCAAAAAAUAUGAUAAAAAUACAUAAUAAAUAGUUAGAAUAUUCUGUUGCUAAAGAAAAUAAAUAUUUCAUGUUAUUAUGUGUCGGCACAUAAAAAUUUUUUUGACCGACACGUAUCGGUACGGCUCGGCACACAUCGAGCUGUACUGUACCGGCAAAUUUUCGGCACGAUUUUGUGCCACGGCAUCUAAAUCUUUGAUAUGAGAGCAUGCGCAUCAUAGGCGAAAUUUGUUUUUAUCUAAUCUCUUUUUNUUAUUUUGUCAUAAUCAUAUUAAAAUUUAUAUAAAAAAUGUUAAGAUAUCCAAAAUUUCAAAUAAAGAAGCUUGGAAGUUGGAACAUCCUUUUCACAAUCACUCUUGAUAGUAUGUAAAGAAAGAGUUCUAUAUUUUAUUUUUGCCGGAAUUAGAAAAAUAAUAAGGACCAGCCACAUAACAUAACCAUCCAAACUAAUUACUCUUGUCCUAUUUUCUCAUCUCUCCAUGGAUUAAUUUCCAUGCUCCCCUCCAAAAAAAAAAAAAGAAAAAAGAAAAAAGAAAAAAAAAGAAAAAGAAAAAGAAAAAGAAAAAUCCUUUACCUAUUCAGUGGCAUCAUCAACCAAUCACAGCACGCCACAUCAGACAGGCAAAUUUGUAUACCGUUAUCCAUUUGCGUACCAGCGAUUGGUUGGGCCCUUCGGCGAUUCGCCCCAUCGGCCCAUCCUCGCGCCGCAUAAAAAUAAUAAUUUUUAAAUAAAUAAAUUAAUUAAUAAGAAAACUCACACGCAGAGCAUUUUCUAGCGCGCCAUGGCCUCCUCCUCCGCCGCCGCCGCCGCCGCAGCCACCUGCGCCCACCGCUCGCCGGCGUUGGCCGGCGCGAAGGCCCCCGCUCGCCGCCACGCCGCGCGACGCGUCCGCCUCCCGCCGCUUCCGCCGCCGCGCAGCGCCGCGUGCCCUGGACUCCUACAAACUGCCUCCUGCGGUGAGUGUGCCCUCCAGGUGUUCGAUUCUUUGUCCCAGAGAAAAUGUUGCUCGGAUCGUGAACUCGGAUUCGAAUACGGAUGCUACAUUUCAAAGCACUCAAUUUGUUUGCUUUUGGAGGAAUCUAGUUCCAAAGUGUUUGGAGUGUGCGCAUCGGGACGCCAUGGCUCAAAACCUUAUCUUUUCAAAAUUAGUCAACAAUUACAUCGAUUGAAUGAAUAUCGACACAUGGCACGAUACUAUGCCGUAUUGUGCCGGCAAGUGCUCAGUAUGAUCCCGUACCAUGACACUUAAAUCCUUGUGUAUUGCCUGUUUGUUUGCGAUUUGCCAAUAGAGCUUUUAUGUAAUUGCAAGUAGGGAAAUAACGUCUACCCUAAGUCUCAUCGCACCUCUCCCUUGCGCAAUUUAGGUCAUGGAAAUGCAAGAAAUGUCCUUGCAAAGGCAACAGGAGAAUCACCGGCUGAAGCUACGACUGAGUUUCCCGAAAUUGUGAAACCCGUGCAGGAAUUGGUCAGUUUUUUAGGUUUUGUUUUGAUUCGUAGGCAUAUCGACUAUAAUAACUCUUCUUUUUAGACAGUGGGACAAACUUGAAGAUAAGUAUGCCGUGGCUUCGCUAGCUGUUGCCAGUAUUAUCGGAUUGUGGACUGCCGCUGGAGUGAUUUCGGUACUAAAAAGUUUUUGAUCCAAUUAUCAGUAUGAUGAUGAUUGCAUCAGACAAGUGAUGCCGAAUCAAAUGGUUUGAUGCGGGGUUUCUUUGUUUCUGAUGAUCAGUAAUUUUAGAUUUCUUUUUUUCUCUUUUAUCUUUUUCCUUCUGGGAAGAACUUUAAAGAAGGGCUAACAUACGCAGGCAAUUGAUCGACUCCCUGUUGUCCCCGGCAUUCUUGAGCUUGUUGGAAUUGGUUACACAGGGGUGAGUUCUUACUUCCUGCAAAUAUGAUCUUCUUAUAUAUAAAUUAUUGUCACUAAUGACUGUGCAUUUUAAGUUUUUUUUUUUUGUUCCUAUUAUCAUCUAUAAUCUUGCGAAUAAUUCAGUAUCCUGCUGAAUGUGUACUACAUUUGUAACUUCAUGAAGACAAAUUAUUUUGCAUGAUGGAAACUAAAAUAUAUAAAUUUGGAGCCUAUACAUCUGCAUCUCAUUGACAAAAUGAAGUUAGAAAAGGCCGCCAUUGAGAGACAUACUCUAGAUAUCAACUUAAAAGUGGAAGCAGAAACAGAAGUCGCUCGUUGGAUUAUGCGCUUAUGUUAACUGCUAUUUGCUGUUGUCGCAGUGGUUUGCAUACCAAAACCUGAUCUUCACACCUGACAGGUAUACUCUUAGCCCUUUUCUUCUUUCUCUUUUUUUACUUCAGAUCCUUUAGUACUAAUACCAUAUGAAGACACCUCUAUGGCCACACCAUGAAAAGAAAUAUGUCCAUGAUUUUGCAGCUACCUGGCAUUCUGGUUUUAAAUGCCCUGUAUAGCUAUUUUGUAAAGGAAUAAUUUGCUACAGAAUCUUCUUUUUUUUUUUUGAGUUAUGGUCGCCAUAUCCUUAAGGAGGAUUUUCUAUAUGGCGGCAGCCUGUCGCAUUCUCUAAAUUGGAAAGCUGAUAUGAUCAACAAAGGAUAGAAGUAAACAGUUACUAUCUAAAAAUGAAUAAAUAUACGGUUCUUCUGUAGUAACUAUGUUGAAAUUUUCAUCAUCUGAAACUUUGGACAAAUUGUAAUUGUAAUCAUGAUUCUUAUGCUGAAUGGAUUACAGGGAAGCUUUGAUAGCAAAGAUAAAGGGCGUCUAUGAGAACAUAAUCGGGAGCAGCUAACGGAUGAGCAUCAAUAGAUUGGUGGCAUCAGAAACACUAAAUGCUGUCGAAUGAAUGCCAAUUCUUAUCCACUGGGAGAUCAUUGUGUGAGAGGGAAGGAAAAAAGUUGUAGUCUUUCAUGGUUUAUUCUGUUGUAUGGCAUAACCUUCUAAAACUAUACAAUCCGUUUAAUGAUUGUGCUAUGUGCUUAUUUUCCAUUUCAUAUUGUGUUUCAGUGGCUUGGAUCGGUGAAGUGAAUGCUGAUCUGUUUGUUAAUCUUUUCAUAUUGUCGACAAUGAAUAAGAAAAUAAGAAUUUCUAUCAAGAAUAACACUGCUUGUAUUUGUUGUAAUUGUUCCUUCAAUAGACAAAACUCUGGUGCCUUCCCCCAAUAGGGACAUUUCUCUGACUGAUUCUACCAUCCUAGAAUGUGGAUUUCGGAAAAAAGAAAAGAUGACUUUGAUUGCUUUUCCUGAUCCGAAAUCCUCUUCUUUUCGACACUAUUCUUCCAUAUUUUGAGCCAAGCUAGUCUCUCUAUCAGAAAAUUGGUUGAUCUAUGUCUUCAUGUGAAGACAGAGAUCUGAUUGCUCCCUUACAUACUGGAAGAAGUUCUGAAAACUCAAAAGCCUUAAUUCAAGAGAUGUAAGCAAAUUAAUCUCAAAUAUACCGUCGACAAUCUGAUAAGGUUGGCUACAUCUCUUCUAAAGUGGAAAUGCCACUAAUGAAACUUGCAGAUACUGUUUAAUUCGAAGCGCAAUGUACACAAAACAUUUAAUAGGAAUUAGGUCAAUGAAAAAUCAAGCUAUUUUUUGUGAGGUGGAGAAUGAGCCUAGUUCUUAGAUUAUAAAGAUAGAUAUGUCUGCAUGGUCAAUCAAAGCAAGCACACUUCUUUGACAUCUAUUAUUUAUAAAACAAUCUACAUGUGAAGAAAUAUGAUAACUAGUAAUAUACAUUAUAGAUUGUAAAAUCACAUUUAGGCAAUGAAGAUCAUGCUCUUUGCUGCAGCUACAGUAAACAGCAUUAAAAUCACAUUUAGGCAAUGAAGAUUAUGCUCUUUGCUGCAGCUACAGUAAACAGCAUUAGCAUACACAAUCAUGUGAGUUAGAUACUCAAAUUGUGGCAAGAAAAUUGCCACAGUGGCUACUUUGCAAAGCCAUUGAUGAACCACUCCUUUUGUGAGAAAAAAGCCGCAUGCUUAUGAAAAGGAGUGUAUGUACUAUGUCUUAUUAAGUAGAGCAUAUGGAAAUUGUUAAAAAUUUAGAACCAUUUUAAUAUGAUGUUAAUGAGCUUCACCUAUAAUGCCAGUCUAUUAGUUUACUUUCAAAGCUAUCCAUAAACUCACCGUUCCUAGCGCAAGUGGUAAGGAUUUGGUGAUUGGUACCCGAGGUCCCAAAUUCAAAUUCUAGUUGAUUCAUAUUUCCAAUUAAGUUUAUUUAUAAAUAAAACAAAUGAAGUAGAUACCAUACAACCUAUCUCUAAAAAAAAAAAAAAAAAAAAAACUGCCCAUAAAACAAAGAACACUAAAACAACACGGUAAAUUAUAGCAAAAAAAAGCUUUUUAUGAUAUAAAACCUCCUUUUUGACACCUAUAAUGUACAUACGCUAUAGUGUUUCAUUCAACUUUAGUUAGUGUAGGAGUUUUUUUAUUAAAUCAAAUAUUAUGUGGUAUAAUUGGUGAUUGAUUGAAUUAUUUGAUGUAUGAUUGAUCUGCGACAUGUAGGGACAUGAUAUAUCCCAACUGUUUCAAUUCUGACCACCACUACAACUUAAAUCAUGCAGUUGCUUACCUUCCUUACAGCCUAUUUAAAUUUUUAUUUUUUAAUUUAAAUAUUUACAACACUAAGAAAGUUCUGCGAGAAGCUUACUUUUCGUUACUUCUGUGAAAUUAUUGACGUUUAAGUUGCUAGACAACCAUGUCUCAUUAAGUGACCUGAUUAAAUAGGUAUAGAUUUUAUUUUAUUUUAUUUUUUUUGCCAGAUUAAAAUUCCAAUGCUUCUGCUGCAUCAUGAAGCAGAAGUGAGAUCUCGAGUGAGAGGUCCCAAUUUGCUUCUUCUAAUUCUAUAAAGAAAGAAGUUAGCGGUGUCAUCUGUAAUAUUUCUCGUCGUAACACAAGUCAAAUAGCACUCUCGUCGAACAAUACUAAACAGAUUGCUAAUUUAGUUCUAAAUUAAUUUCGCGUUUGAGAGAACACAUUUCCCUUCAUACGUUCAAAAAUGACCGAAGUGAACGGUAUUCAGAAGCUUUUGCAUUAACGCCACAAAUUCAUGAUAGCAACAACGUCACGUGCCAAGGUGGCCUCGCGAGUCUCUUCUCAGCCACGAGUUCCCCCCGCCACGUCACCCCCCGCGCGGGUCCCACCUCGACAACGGGGCGGGUUUGUGGGUGCGCUUUCGCACGCCCGCUUCGCGCCUCCACAGCCUCAAAUUCCAAAAAGCCGCUUCUGUGGCUAAGAAAAGCGCUUCCCAAAAAGCGCGAGAGCCCCAGAGCCCACCACUAUCCUUCCGCCACGUGUCACCCCCUCCCCACCUCCCUGGCCCCUUCCCAGCCCCAAGUUCGCAGGGGUCCUGGGGACCCUCCCCACUGUUUCCCCCCCUCGUAGUAUUUAUGACCCCGAAUUUGAUUCGCGACACUUUCCCUUCGCGGCAAGAACACGAGGCUGAGCAAACUCGUGGCUGUGAUCGCUCGAGCUUCUCCAAGCAAGAGAGAGAGAGAGAGAGAGAGAGAGAGUUGAGGUGGAGAGUACGCGAGGUGCUCUAGGGUUUAGGUUUUGCCGAAUCAGUUAGGCCACCGUCUCCUCCCUACAUCCAUAUGAAUACCCCCUGCGAAACCCUAGCCAUCGACGUUCCUCGGCUCUUCGACGCCGAGUGAGAAGAGCUCGCUCCCGAAGGUGCGCUUUUUUGCCUCGGUUCAAUUCCCGCUCGUUCUUGCUACUGUUGAACUGUGCUAUUGUGCUGUGCGGCGCUCUAUGCAGUGCGUGCGAGAAGAGAAAUGAGGUGUUGUUGUCGCGUUAUCGAACGAUCGGUCGUGGAUAAGAACGCGGCGGCUGCGCUCUCUUUCGAUGAUUUCGAGUUAAAAGAAGUUGAAUUUGAGAGGGGACUUAUUUCCUAACUUGAUGAAUCGCGGCGAUGGAGACGUGCUCUGCCGGGGAGGACAUAACCGCAAAGGUCUUCUUUGUAACCAUGGUUAUUAGUGUGUGAUUUGGUUUGUUUUGAUGUUUUUAUUUGGUUUUUGUUGAUAGAGGAGGAAGCCGUACACGAUUACGAAGCAGCGGGAGAAGUGGACAGAGGAGGAGCACAACAAGUUUCUGAAAGCCCUGAAACUUUAUGGCAGGGCGUGGCAGCGCAUACAAGGUAAAUUUCGAAAAGAAUUUCAUGUAUCAUAUAAUAAACUCUGUUUGUGCUUCGCAAGUUCUUUUUUUUGCUACAAGAAUUGAAGGCAUCAUGUUAGAACUUGUAGAUUGUAAAGAGGAGGAUCAGAUAAACUGACGAGAGUACUUCGCUACAGGAGAGUUAAAAUAUGUGAUUCAUUCCUAAUCUUUUUUUUCGCAUUAUUUUAUCGAUAACAACUGGCAUAGCUGAUUCGUGGAAAAAUUUACAUCGAUACAUUGUGCAUGUACAGUUUCUGCUGUCACAUAAAUCACGAGUUAUUGUGUUUCUUAGUAAAAUCCCAAAAGAACUGAUAUAUGAGCUUUUAAUCAUCAAAAGGAAAUUGAAAAACUUCCCGACACUUGCUGCUAGGGUUUACGUUGCGAGGGAUUGUCUUGCCUUGUCUAACCUUGCAGUAUCCCAGAUGCAAAUGACCAAUUAUAGUUUCCUUCCGUUUAUAUGGAUUUAGCAUGUAGGUUUAUCUUAAUACCUAACUAUUAUUCACAUCUGCACACUGCCGGGUUCGUACUAACAUGCUGUGGGUACGCGGUGUGCCGUGAGUUCAAAGUGUGACAAGGCGCGUGUUUGGUGGAGCUUGCCUAAUCACAUGUUCACGACCAGGUAGUUCACACCAAAUUUUUCCAUGUUAAGAGCUUAUCUCUAUAUAACGAUCUCUGAAACCCUGUUUAAGAGAAAGGUCUGCCCAUAUUGUGUGGUUUAUAGUGGACAUACUAAUUAAAGAACCGGCAAAAUGAAAUAAGUUAACAAAGUAGUAAUUUUGAGCCAAGAUUUUGGCAAAUCGCAGUGUGUUUCUGCCUAGUCUGUUUUAGUCAAAACUAGCGAGACUUAGCUAAGCUAAAAUUUGGAAUCAAGAAAAGCAUAUGUUUUGUUUCCCUAGCAUGGUAAUUCACUAUGUGGAAGAGGAUAUAAACCUCAAAGAAGAGAUUUGAAGAUCUUUAACAUUUGAAACACUCCUUUAGAGCUUAAUUAGUCAUUUUUACAAAUUUAUUUCAUAUUGCAAAAUUUUCUCAACUUCUUUUACUUGAUUUGUACACUGUUGCCUCCUUUUCAAUGUAAGUACCAUGUAGUCGUAAUUGAUCUUCACGUAAUGGAAUUCUUAUUUUAAACAUCACAUUCUACAAGUUUGUGCUGUGUUUACGCUUACAUAAGCGACCAAUAUUCUCUCUAUGUGGCCUUUGAGCUAAAAUUAAAUUUGUCAGGCUGCUAACGUGUAAUAUAAUUUAUGCAAACGGGGAUAAAUAGAGUGUAACAAAUCCAUAUGGAUAGAGGUAAUAUAAUAUCUAUGAAGAAACCCCAGGCACCAGGCCUCAGGUUUAAUAUAUUAGGUUCUUGGAUGGGUUGUUUCCAGGGUGUGUGGCCUACAGGGAAGUUUAAAAAACAAAGGACAGGGAAGUUUAAAAAACAAAGGACAAAAAAAGACUGAUAGUCAAAUAUAUUAAGAAUCCUAGUGAAUUACAAGAUUAGAGUAUUUGUACUCAACUAUCAACUGUGUUUUCAUAUUUGUGGUGUCUAGAAUUUUUGUAUUGACAACAAAAUAUGCAAGCCUCUAAAUGCAACAAAGUUUGUUGUUUUUCUUUUGAUAUUCCUCUCUUUUUUAUUUUGUUUCUUUCAUAUUUUUGGUCUUCGGGAAAAAUGCCGAAACCAAUCUGAAAUUGUUAAAAUUGUUGAAAUUGUCAAAAAGUGAUAUACACUACUCUCGGCUGAAACUGCUAGAGAAACCAUACCCCACUUUGGCCCAUUAAUUGCUUCUUUUCUCUUUGGUUUUACCUUUAAAUUGUUUAGAUAUAUAGUUUCUUUAAAAAAAAAAAGAAAAAAGACAUACAUCCUCUCUAUAUCUUGUUUGAUAGAGAAUGUUUUUAUCGACGAUCAGUAAAUUGAAAUAUUAGAUUUUCAGGCUUCAUUGUUUUAUAUUUGUCCUGCAGUUGCUUGCUAUACUAUAUUGGUAACUUAGUUUUACUGUUUUGUAUCUUGAUGUCCACUUUACAGAACACAUUGGUACAAAGACGGCUGUCCAAAUCAGGAGUCAUGCACAAAAGUUUUUCUCAAAGGUUAGAAAGAAAUUUCCUCUUGCUUACACUGCAUUUACUUCAGAGUUUGUUUACUUGUUUAUACCUUGACCAAAAAUAUAAUUUAAUUUCAAUUAUUUCACUGUUGUUAUUUGUUGUUAUUUCUAGUUUACUGUUUUUUAUUGUCUCACAAUUAGAAUAGUGAAGAACAAGUUACAUGUUUGCUAUCUUUGACGAUUCUGAAACUAUACUCAUUUGUUUACUUGUUUAUACCUUGACCAAAAAUAUAAUUUAAUUUCAAUUAUUUCACUGUUGUUAUUUGUUGUUAUUUCUAGUUUACUGUUUUUUAUUGUCUCACAAUUAGAAUAGUGAAGAACAAGUUACAUGUUUGCUAUCUUUGACAACUGUGAAUGAAUUGAUAUCUUGAUAAAUCAAGUUACAAAUGAGUAUAGUUUCAGAAUCUUAUCUAGGCAGCUUAGAAGUUGGGUUUAGAUCAGCUUACUCUGCAACGAGACUGAUGAAACCCCAUUUUAAAGUCUAUCUCAUAAAUUAACUGAACUCAAACAAGUGGUUAUAUAGAGGACUUAGUUCAGCUCACCCAAAAAUAUUGGCUCGUGUCAAGUGCUAUGCUACCCUCACUUAAACAUGUUGUUUACGGCUUAAACGCAAUCAGAGACUAAAAGCUGAUCCUGCUGAUUUGAGCCUGAGCAGCCUGAGAUUUGGUUUUCGUUUUUAGACCUGGCAGAGCAUACCUCCACUUUGGAAAGCAGAAAAUAAUGCUGCACUGUUCCAAAAUAUCUGUAAAUGGAUGAAAUAUUAAAUUAAAGUAUUUUUCCUUGAAAAACAAAAUUAGUUAAACAGAUUAAGAAGCAACUUUAUUUCAUUUACAAAUUAGAGAUUAAUUCUUACAGAAUAUUGAGAUGAACAGCAUACUUAAGGGGCUGCUUGGUUGGACAGAUUUAGUAAAGUUGGCUCUCUACACAUUCUUAAAUGAGUUUUAUCAAAUUACUCCAUGCAUUCUUCUCAUCAAGCCAUUCUUAAUGAGCUCCAUGAAGUUGUUGUAUAACGAAACAUUAUGUCCUCGUUAGUAAAGAUGAUUUAAUUGAGCUGCAGUUGGAGAAAGAAGCUCUAACAAAAGGAACUCCUGUGGGGCAAAGUCAUGACAUAGAAAUCCCUCCUCCACGCCCCAAAAGGAAAUCAACUUGCCCGUAUCCUCGAAAUACUGCUGCAGGUUCCCUCUCUCCACUUGAAGAAGCAAAUGAUGGAAAAGCAUUACAUUCCACUCCUCUCAGAAGUGGCAAACAGGUGCUUUGUGUUGACGUCGAUACUUCUCAUGAGGUAAAUUUCUCCAGAUUUAGACUUUUUUGUCCCUUUUUUUCUGGAAUAAUAUUAAUGCUGAUACAUCUUAAUCAUAACUAGAAGCUUCCUGCGACAGAAGCACACCAAAGGAAAAAACAGCCAUCUGAAGCUGGCAGCAGCUCAGAAGUAUUUCACCUUUGCCAGGUAUUGAAAAUAUUACCUUUUGUAAACGCUUGGACUAGAAAAAUAUGGUUUUUUAACAUUGGUUUAGUUAUGAUUAUUCCUUCAAGUUCGAUCAACAUUAGAUUUCAGCUGCAUAGUAGCUGCAUAGUUCAAUUGCGACAAUUUAUCGUCCAAAGAAUGUUUUGCGUAACAAUAAAGUCCUAUUAAUACUGUCUAAAAAAUGUGACACAACAACACCAUCAUUAGAUUUUGCUUUGUUAGAGUUGACACUUUUGACAAUGAAAUUGAAAUCGAGGUCAAACUUCAUUGACGAGUUAACUUUGAAAUUGGAGUCAUACUUUGAGGAUGAGUUGUGAUAAUUGUGACUUUAAGAGUAGGCUCAAGAUUAUUAGUAUUCCCAAGACACGUUCUUUGAAUUAAAUGGGUGGAGGUUUUCUUUUAGAUGUGGGUGUGUUUGGUUCCACGUAAAACUGUGGAAAAAAAAAUUUCGGUGGAAAAUUUUUUUUAUGUCGUUUAGGGCAUGUUUGUGUCAGCGAAAGUGGACUUUGGGUUGAAGUGGAGUUCGGUGAAAACUACUUCUCCACUGUUUGUUUUGUAGUUAUGGAAGUGAAAUUUAUUAGUUCUGCUGUUUGUUUGAUAGGAAGUGUAUGAUAUAAAAUUAUAAUUUAUGUAUAAAUAAGAAAUAAUUUAAUAAAUAAAAAUAAUAUACUUAUAUUUUUAUAUAAUUAAAAUUUAAUUUAAAGCAACUAAAUUUUUUUAUAUAUAUAAAUUAUAGUAAUACAACAAUAAAAUUAUAAAGUAAAAAAAUAUUAAUAUUUAAUUAAUCAAUUUUUAUUAUAUUUUAAUUGUACAAAUUAAAUUAAAAAUAUUAAAACUUGACUAAUCAAUUUUUAUCAUAUUUUAAAUAUGCCAAAUGAAUAAAAGAAUAAUUAGAACCAUAAUUAAAUAUAUUUAAAUAUAACUACUAUCUUUACCUUUAAUAUUAUUUUAGUUUUUUUUUUUCACCUUCCUUCACCAUAAUUGACUUCGACCCACGAUAGGCCGAAGUCAAUUACGCCGUUUUAGGUUAACCGGAGUUUUGGCUGUAAUUGUUUUACAGCGAACCAAACAACGGAAGUGGUCAGUUUUCACCGAAAAUCACCUCCUCCCUCCCACUUCCACCCUACUUCCUUGCAAACAAACAGACCCUUAGUGUUUGGUUUGUAGGAAAAGAAAAAUACUUUUCCAUGACGGUUGUUUGGUUAAAAGGAAAAAAAUAGAUGAAAGACUAUUCAAUAUAUUUUUUUUAUUGUAAAUAUUAUUAAUAUAUAAUAAUUAAUAUACGAUAUAUAUUAUUAUUAUUAUUAUUUUUAUAGAUUAAAUAUAUUUAAAAUUAUAAAAUAUAUAUUACAUAAAAUAUAAGAAUUAUAUAUUUAGAAAUAUUAAUAAAUAAUUAUAAAUUUAUAAAUAAAAUAUUAUAUAAUUAUACCUCUAUAUAAAAAUAAAAUACUAUAUAUAUAUAUAUAUAUAUAUAUAUAUAUAGGUCGUGGCUACUAUACUAUUAUGAGUAUUGGAGACCUUGUACUCAUAAGUUGUUUUCAAUGGACAAUGGAGCUUCCGAAUCGACAAUCCACUCCGUUAAAUAUGAUCUAGACUAUUUGAAACUUUUAGAAAAUAAAUUUCGUAAAUUUUCAAAAUCAUAAUAAAAUCCGUCAAGUGGGCAUAAAAUGAACGGUCAAAAUCAAACGACGUUCUAAAAAAGGAUGAUCGGAUCGUUCAAUUCAAGAUCGGAGUUAUUGAUCUUUAUAUAUGUAGUGAAUAGAAUUUUCUAUCAAAAAUUCAACAAAUUUCGAUUCUUUUACACCGUUAAACUAGCAAGUAUCCCAUACCGACCGUUAAAAAUUGUCACAUUUGUGACCUCUUGAUCGUAAGGUAAAUGAUGUCGAAAAAUUAUAAAAUUUGAUUUCUAGAAGUUUUAAAUGCUGUAAAUAACGUUUAACGGUGUGGAUCGUCGAUUCGGACGCUCUAUCAUCGAAAACAACUUAUGAGUACGAGGGCGAUCGUACUCAUAAUAGUAUAGUAGCCGGACCCUCUCUAUAUAUAUAUAUAGAAUUAGGCUACUAUACUAUUUAUAGUACCGGAGCUCCGGUACUAUAGUCUUAUUUUCGAUCUUAGGGUGUUCAAAUUAACGAUCCACACUGUUAAAUAUGAUCUAGGGUAUAUGAAGUUCUUAAGAAUAAAAUUUUAGUUUUUUUUUACAUUGUUUAUUUAGUAAAUAAAUUAUGUCAAAAUGGACGGUGGAAAUUGAAUAAUCUUUAAAAUUUGAGCAUAGAACUUUUAAAUUCAAGAUCAAGAAUGUUAACCUUAAUCUAGAUAGUUUAAAGUAUUUUCUAUCAAAAUUUGAAGAAAUUUAGAUUCUUCUACACCGUUAAACUCCAAACUCGCCAUAGUAGCCGAUGAAAAUUGACAAUUUUGAAAUGGUUUGAUCAUAAAGUAAACUAUGUUGCAAAAGUAUAAAAUUUUAUUUCUAAAAACUUUAAAUACCCUAGAUCAGUUUUAACAGUGUGGAUCGUUGAUUUGAACACCCUAAGAUCGAAAACGAGACUAUAGUAUCUGAGCCCCAGUAUUAUAGAUAGUAUAGGAGACUAGCUCUAUAUAUAUAUAUAUAUAUAUAUAUAAUGAGAGGGAGGUCUACAGUGGACCUCCCUUUCACGCGGUCCACGAGGCCGAAGUGGCCUAGUGGACCGCGACGAGGCCGAAGUGGUCUCGUGGAUUGCGCAAAAACGUGGCCAUGAGCCGCGCUUUUUCCUUCGCCCUUUUCGUUUUCCGUCGCUCGCCCGCGGAAAACGAAAUGGAGGAUUUUCUCCAAAUAUGUAAAACUAGGUUUCACCGAAAUUUUUUUUUACAUCCAACAAAACACUUGGAAAACAUUUUUCAACUGAAAAAUUGUUUUCAGCCUAUUUUAACAUGGAACCAAACAUAGCCUAAGUGCACCAGAAAACUAUAACCAGUCCCAUCUCUCUCCAAACCUAAUGCAACUUCCUAGGAAGAGAGUGAUUGAGAGUAGAUGUGCCUCAUGGCAUUCGGACUCGGAAUUAUUUGAUUUGUUAUUAUGUGAGACAACCAAUUUUUCCUAAAAGUUUAAGCUACAAGAGAGUAGUGUUUUAAUAUAAUUAUAUUAAUACACUCCACACAGGUUGCUCCGGGUGCUUCCAUCUCCUCAGCGAACAAGAGCUCAUCAAACACUUGUACUUUUAAGCACUAUAUUCCCCUUGUGGAAGGAGGAGAUGAGAAAACCGCUCAAAGCGAAACGUCUCAGAACUUCCAAGAAAAGCAGGAACAGGUGAAGAGUGCUUCCUACACAGAUGCUGAUAAUCAUGGUCAAAACGGAGUUUACGUGAACUGGAAGGAGAAAUUAACUUACAAAAAGAAGCUGGACGUGAGAGAGCAGCGAACAAUUCGUGGCCCACUUCUGAACAACGAUCUGCGAGGAGCUCAAUGCUACUCGAAGCAUGUCCCGGAGCAAUUCAUGAGCCGCAAGAACAAUGAGAGCAGCAAGCAAUCUAAUUUUUCUGGUAACUAUGCUCCUACGAAAACCGACGUUCAAGUUAACACAUCUCAAACAAAUCCUACUACCGUGCCUGAGCAUAAUCACAACAUGAACUCUACUACGAUGCCUUCUGCUGAUCAACCAUGUUCAGUAUUUGUGCCUUUUACACAAUCGGGCAGCAACCAAGAUGCUUCUAGAACCUUUCUGUCGCCCUCAUCUUCGAGUCUCAUGGUAUCUAACUUGCUGCAUAAUCCAGCAAUUCAUGCAGUAGCCAGCCUCGCAGCUUCAUAUUGGUCGUCGAACAACUCAAAUGCCUCAAGCAGUUCAACCCUAGAAAAUAAUGGGGCAGUGCCAAAUGCACAAGUGAACUCGUCCCCGAGCAUGGUGGCAAUGGCUGCCGCCACCGUGGCAGCGGCAUCUGCCUGGUGGACGAGUAAUGGUCUGUUGCCGCUCUUCCCUCCUGUUCAGCCUGCCUUCAUUUUUCCUCCAAUGCAAACUAUGCCAAUCUCCGCAAUGGACAUGACUCGAGCUCCAGAGCAUAAAGAGGAAAAGAAGGAUGAUAGAGGUCACAAGCUUACACAGCACAAUGCGGUUUCUAAAGCAUUAUCAUCAGAGUCAGAUGAAAGUAGAAGAGAUGAAACAUUGCGGCAAGCUGCGCUGAAAUCUAUGAUAACUAAUAAGCCUAAAUCCAGACUUCACGACUCCGAUAAAGCGGCGUUAAGGACUCCAAUUCGCUCUUCUAAUGGUUCUAACACGCCUUCAAGCGGUGAUGUAGAAACUGACGGUAUGAAAAGGAAACUGCAAAGGGAGGUCAAGGACAAAGAUGAGCAAAUACAUCUUGUUAAAAAUCAUCUCCCUGAGGAGACGAGCAAUUACCAGAAUUCUAGCAAAGAAAUGCUUGAUGAUUCACGCAAGGUCUCUGGAUAAGUUUUCUAUAUUUCUGAUUGUUCCUCAUUCUUUGGUUGAAAACCUGUGUUCAACACUAAUCCUCCAAUAUCCUCUUCCUUUUCCCAGGGUCGACCUGCCUCUCUGGAGCUGUUUACUGGCGAAAACUUGCGAAAAAUUCCUUCACUGCCGCCACAGAGCGAAGAUAAAGAAGCCACUGCCUUGAUGGUGGACCUCAUUGGGGAAGCAUUUCGAUUGAGUACUAAAGUUACGGCCGAACCUGAAGAGCAUUCUAAAAUGAACGAAAUUGAACGCGUGAAGCUGAAGUCGAGUCGAAGAGCAUUCAAGCCUUACAAGAGAUGUUCGGUGGAAGUAGACAACCAAGCAACAACAAAUGAAGAUAGCUCUGACAAGAGAUUACGUCUGGGGGGAUAAACAUUACGACGACGGUUUGCAUGCGAAAAUAUGCAUUAUUUGUAGUUUGGGUUCUUCUCUACAAAUAAUAAUUUGUGUUAGAUUUUUAGAAAUAAUUUGCGUUAUAUUGUAGUUUAAUUUAGUUGUUCUAUCUUUGGUGCUUCCUUUCGACUGAUCAUAAUUACAAUCCUUUUUGGAGAUAUUGAACAUAACAUGAUUGCUGAGGGGGGCAAACUCUUGCCUUUUAGGACUAUUUGUGCACGUCGUAACGAAGUUUGCAUAACCUCUUUAAUCAUAACAAUACAUCAUAUUGUUUUGCAUUUCCUUUUUUCUCACUUUGCCUGUGUACUCCUAUGACAAAUUCUUUUUAAAAAAAAAAAAUUAAAGAAACAAAAAAAAAAAUUAUUUGUUGUCAAAUAAACAGCUUGAAGUAUUGUAAGUAAUUCAUCAUCUACUCCUACGCUGUUUUACGUAUUAAAUUUUAUUAUAAUAUAUAUAAAAAAAGAAAGCAAUGCCAAAUGGGAUAUUGAUUUUCGAGAAUAGCAUAACCUCCUAACCAUGGUAAUGGUAAUGUAACAUUUCCGUUAGUUGAGAAUCCAUAGUGAUUUCACAAAUUCCUCAAGAACUUUAAUCACUUUGCAACUUGCAUUCAAGAUAAUAAUCUAAAAUUUUAAAACAAAAAGAAUCACAAAUUCUGAACAGAACGACCCUAAAUGGAUAAACUGAAGGCAAUUUCAAAAGUUUAAUUUUACUGUGCAACCCUUUAGUUUGAUUAAUUUGAAUUAGUCAAUGAUAUUUUCACUCCAAAAUUUAAACUAAUUAUUUAUUUUAAUAAUUUUAUAAUUAUCAGAAUGGUAUGAAAUAUACUAACUUGUAAAAAUAAAAAAAAUUUAUUUAAAUUUUAAAGCAAAAAUAUUAUUGACCAAUUCAAAUCAAUUAAACUGAAAUGUUGGAUAAUAAAAUUAAAAUGGUAGAACGUCAAAAGUCGUGUCAAAAUAAUUUAUAAUUUAAAUAAAUUUUAUACAUUUAUUUUUUUUAAUAUUUGCAUGCUAAAUUUACGGUAUAAAAUAUUAUUUAUUAAAAAAAAGGAAAAGAAUGUUGGUUGGAGUUGCGCUGAAAAUGCAUUUUUUCUUGUAGCGUAAGAAAAACCCCGCGAUGGACAAGAAUUGCAGAAGAAGUCCUGAGACUGUCCGCAGUCCCCUCGCAAAGUCGCAGCUGCCAGCCCUCCCCUGUCAAAAAGAAAUCCGACAGACAUCCUUAAAUUCGGGGGAUGCGAUCCUGCCCUCCUCGGCGAAACACAAAACAGCGAAUCCAACAGCCAUACAUACUCCUUUGUGGGGCCCACCAACCACCGCUAAUUAGCGACUGUGCUGCCAACAAAAAAAAAAUAUGGGUGAAAAACAAUUUUCAAAGCACGAUCAUUUUAUUCGUCAUCCUUUAUUAUAUAGGCGACAUAAGUUUAAAAUUACGUAAACGACGUAUAAGGUAAUCUCCGGACGGACCGUUUCUUUGACUGCAUGAUAAGGCUAACAAUCUAACUCGAUCUUUGACGGCAUGAUAAGGCUAGCAAUCCAACUCGGCAAUCGCAAGCUAGCUACUGCUCGAAAUGAGAUCAAAAUGGAUUGCUCGUUUAAUAAAUGAGUCGAAUGCUAAGCUAAAUUUUUCAGCUCGAAAUCUUAACGGCCCGAAUAUGAGCUAGGGCAAGUUUGCUUAUGUUCAACUCAAUAUAGCUCAUAGUCUCGUUCAUCUGUAAUUCAGGUUGUAAUCUUUGAAGUUGAACACGAGUUGAGGGGGUGGCAGGAGAGAAUUUCCUAGCCUCGCGCGAAGCUGCCGCCGCUCCCUCUAUUUCUACUUCGCCCAUGGAGGGUCGGGGCAGUGGGGCGAGGCGGUGGUGGCGGCGUAGAUCUAAGAUGGAGGGUGAGGGAGGAGGAAGGGGUUGGAAUGGAAAAGGAGGAGCUCUGAUGGGGAAAGGACAAAAGAAAGAAAAAAGAGAAAAACGGGGACUGCUUCUAACGUAGCAGUCCGUUACAUCUCUCCUCCAUUAAAUCUGACACGAAUCUCAGAGCAGAUCUGAUGAAGGAGAACUAAUGACUAGUGCAGCUACUAUACUCAUAAGAGUAUAGUAACUGCACUCUAUAUCUAUAAUAGUCUUAUGUGUUAUUAGGAGUAUGAAUGUUUUCGUACUACUAAGCCAUUUUCGAUGAUGGGACUUCUGAAUCGACGAUCAACUCCGUUAGACUUGAUUUAGCAUAUUUAAAUUACUUAGAAAAUAAAUUUUGUGAUUCUUUGAUAUUAUUUAUUUUGUGAUUAAAAUGACUGAGAAUCAAUGGUUGAAAAUAAAAUUUCACAAAAAGAUAUAAGAUAGUACUAAAAUUUUUAUCAGAGAUAUUAAUCUUGUUGUAAGUAGUAUAUAAAAAAUUUUUAUUAAAAUUUCAUCUGAUUUGAAUACUUCUGUUAAUUAAACUUGCAAACGGCACAAAUCAACCAUUAAAAAUUGUUGAUUGUGAAACUUUUUGAUCUCUAUAUAAAUGAUAUCAAAAAAUCGUAAAUUUUUUUUUUCUAGAUAGUUCAAAUAUACUAGAUCAAGUUUAAUGGAAUCGAUUGUUGAUUCGAAAACUCCAUCAUCAAAAACGGCUUAGAACCACGCCUUUAUACUCCUAAUAGUAUACAAAACCUACUCUCUCUCUCUCUCUCUCUAUAUAUAUAUAUAAGCUAGGGCUACUAUACUUGUAUGAGUAUAGGUCCCUUUAUACUCAUAAGAUUUCGAUCAUUGGAUAAAGGGAUGUGUGGUUAGGAUGAUAGUGGUAUCCGGCUAGGAUAAUAAUGAUUCCCUAAGGUUGAGUGGGUUGUUUGUUGAAUAAUAUAAUUUAACGGGUGUAAAUGGUCAAAGAAGUAGAUCUAAUGACUAAAAAUUUAUGAGUACAAAAGGGUCUAUAUUUAUAAAAGUAUAGUAGCCGAACUCUCUCUCUAUAUAUCUAUAUAUAUAGAGAACUAGGCUGGUAUACUAUAGGUAGUACGGAGGUCUUCGAGCUACUAAGUUGUUUUCGAUGAUACGGCUUUUAAAUCAAUGAUUGAAUUCAUUAAAUUUGAUCUGCACUAUUAAAAAUAUUUAGAAACUAAAUUUCAUAAUUUUUUGAUAUUAUUUUCAGCCAUUCAUUUUAAGACUAAUCAUUUACUAGGCAAAUGAAGUCAAACAGUUAUAAAAUUUGAUUUCUAUAGUUCUAAUAAUUAUUUAGAUCAUGCCUAAUAGAGCCGAUCGUCAAAUCGGAUGUCCCAUCAUUAAAAACAACUUACAAGCACGAAAACCUCCAUACUUUCGAAUGCGCAGGACUCUCUCUCUAUAUAUAUAUAUUACGACUUCUACUAUUUGAAUUUUAGUGCACCUAAAAUAUAAAAACACCUAUAUUUUGUGAAUUUUAUUUAUUAGGUUCAAAUUUUAAUUUUUCAAAAUUUAUAUUCAAUUUUUUGCUCAGUAGUAAGGCCGGCAAUGUAGCUUCCUGUUCGCGAGCCAUUUAACUUGUUAAUAAACAAGCGAAUACAAAACUAUAUCUUUUUAGUUCGAUAUUUUAUUAAGCCGGCUCUAGCUCGCUCGUGUUCGGCUCGUUGUCGACCGAAGAAGAGUUAGAAAUUUUUGGUGGAGAAAUAUGUUUGCUGUGUGGGUCAGCAGAGCAUUUUCCUGACAACAAAAAUGCCUCAAAACUUGCAUCGCCAGCCCAGCAGUCGCAGCACGCAGUCGCGCAUCUGAAACGACCUCCAACAUUCAAUGCCCCCUCAAUCACCGUACGUAAGGGACAAAAAAAUAAAUAAAUACAUAAUCGUACCAUGUGUACUACUCUGGUUUCUAAUCUUUUAUUUUUUAUUUAAAAUUAAUUAUAUAUAUAUACCUUUCAAAAAUUUUAAAAUAUUUUAUAUAUUUUAAUUUUUUUAAAUAUAUGUUUCGUGUAUUUCUUUGUUAUUCAUAAAUAACUCUACACUGUAAAUACGGUUAAGUUAUCUCGGAUUAAAUUCAAAUUAAAUUUCUAUCAGAAUUAAAAAUAAAUUAAAAUAAUUUUUUAUCUAUAAUUAAAAGAUAAAUAAAAAAAUUAGUGAUAAUAGAAAGGUAUAUUUGAAAUGACAAAAAGUCAAAAUAUUUUUUUUUUCACUACUUAAAGGACAAAUAAGAAAAAUUGAUAACCGUAAAAAUAUAUAUUUAAAAGAGCAAAAUAAUAAUUUUAUAAAAAUAAUGAUUAAUUCUAACAGUUCACUAAUAAAAUAUAACUGUAGAAAUAUAUUUGAAAGAAAGCGUACGUUUUAUAUUAGCCUUUUAAAUAGGGAAGAAAAUAAUAAAGUUUGAAACUUUUCGGUGGAUAUAAGCAAUUGCCUCUUUCUUAAUUCAAAAUUUAUAAUCUUUGAAAUUAAUUGUACAAACGAUUCCUAUUAUUUUUUAUUUUUUUUGAAGUUUGGUCUCAAAUCCCUUCUUUAAUAUUCGUGUGCCCAUUGUACCAAACUCAAUCUCAUUAAAAUUUUUUUAUGUAUUGUUUUCCUUUUAAAACAUGCGCUAUUCGUGAGUGAAUCGUAAUUAGUAUCGAACUUUUUCAUAAAACUAAAAAGUUAAGAGAUUGAUAUAAAUUUGGAAGGUUAGGAUUUAAUUAAAAUAAAAUACAAAGGAUAGGAAUCCAACUAUCCAAGCCUGGAAAAAGAAAAACAAAAGUAGGGGCUAAAGUGAAAAAUGGUUAAGGUUAGCGGCGCGUGGUGCAAUUAACCAAAAGAUCCUCAGGUAUCAAGAAAUUGUUGGAUGUACCAGGUGCACCACGUCAUUCGUGAACCAUCCAAAAUUAAUUCUUGUACCUAGCCCGUGUGGUCGUGGAAUUUAAUAUAUAUUUUUUAAAUGACAUAACGCUUACACAAAAUAAUAUUAUUUCGUAUGAAAAUACUAUAUUGUUAGGUACCAUGAGGUUUUAGAAAAGGUCAAAAAUAUAAAAAACCACCGCUUUUUUACUCUCUCUUUUCGACUGUUAAAAAUUUAUAUAUUUUUAAAAUUUAAAAAAUAUUUUCAGUGGGUAUUCGAUUAAUGGAGAGGACAAAAUAACUAAAUUAUCCUUAUUUUUUUAUAAAAAAUAAUUUUUUAAUAUAUUUUUGUUAUUUUGAAGAAUACUUUCGAUAUAAAUUAUUAAAAUGGACGAAAUAGUGAUGAAACCAUGACGGAGGAGGUUUAAAUGCAAUAAUUUAAAAUGUUGAAAAGAUAAUAUAUAGAUUUCUGGAAGUUAGAAAGGUAAAGUAAAAAAACAUGUACUUAAUUUUAAGAGAAUUUUUUAUAAUUUAACCUUUAGGAAAAUAUAUAGAUCUCAUUUUUUUUGGUUAUUUUUAUGUUAAGAUUGUAGGAUUUAGAUCAUGUUGGUGCAUAAUUAUCUCAUUCGAUAUAACUUUAUAAUUUAUUUCAGAAGUUUGUAUAUAUUGGCAAAUGUGCAGAAUUGAAUACUAUAUUCAACAUUUAAAUUAUUUUUUUGUAUAACAUAAAUCACCAUAUACAUAAAAUAUGCUAUGCUAUGAAAUCAUGAAUGUCAAAAACUUUUAAAGAGUAAAAAUUAAUUAAUUAAUUUUUUUAUAAUAAUACUUGAAUAAGUUAUGUUUGGAUAGCUCACUUCAACUUUCAAACAAGACUUGGUUGGGUGACAAAUAUGUCAUUGUCUUUUUGUUUUUUACUUUAUUUGUGAAGCCAAGAAAUUCCCUUGAGGACCAUUAGGUUACCUUAUUGUAAGGCAUAUAUAGCCUUUUGCCUUUUCUUAGAAUCUCAUAGCUUUUCUCUCCAUGGCCAAUCCUACUUUUGUUUGAUGUCAAAUUGCAAAGAUUAAUUCUCAUCUCUUUGCAUCCUCUUUUAAUCCAUUUGGACUCGCAUAAUUUCCUUCUUUAAUUCGCUUUGUUUCCCGAUUAUUUUUUAUCCCUCAAAAUUCAAAUCAGAAACGAUGAUGUCUCUGCUAUUUACAUAAUCACUUUCUUUUCUUUUGAUUCAUCUUAUAAUCAAUAUUACUGUUUAAAACAGUUGAUCGGUAUUUCGAAUUAUAUGUCACUUAGUGAAAAAAAAAUAAAAUUAGACGAAUUUUUAGAGAAAAACCUACCAAUUUAUUCAUAGAUAAAACAAAUUAAUAAUAGUAACCUAAUGGUCCAUUCCAAAGAUUUUAGUUAGAACAAGGUGCCCCUUAAGAUUUAUCUCUUUUUGAUAGAAUCCCAUUUAGCCACUAUAUAUGGAAUCACAGCCAAAAGUUUUCUUUAGAAAAAUGUGCCUUAAAAUAUGCAUAUCUCUAAGAAAGCAUAUUUCACCCUUUUGAUUGCCUUUUUUGUAUAAAUAUAAACUUCCCAAAUAAUAUUACCUUUAUUAUUAUGUAUAAUAAACUACAACUUUAUCUCAUUGCCUCUUUUGAUUAUACUAAGCAAAAUUAAUUGCCUAUGUCAAUGUGAAAGAUGCCUUGCUCUUCUAUAAUUGUGUAGCUAGGAGAUUAAGAUAUCUUAAGCCAAUACUUUUUAAGGUUCUGCGACCGAUAUGUAAAUUCUAUAAUAAACUCAGAUAAAAAUAUAAGGUAAUUACAAUUCGAACUCGAAGUCUCGGAUACUAACUAUCAAUUUCUUAGACAAUUAUGUUAGAUACAGUCGGUAGUAUGUAUAGUUCUGUUUGUUAACAAAAAUGUACAAUCAACAUGUUAUGCUGUUAAAAAUUAUAUUGAAAUCUCAAAAUGUAACUAUCUAUAGUAAAAAUUCUAAGCAUUUAAACCUAACUUUCGAUACUCCUUUUUGAGCAAAUGUAAAUUUUGACGCCCAACCACUUGAAUAAUUAAACAUUUAUGUAUCAUAUAAUUUUGCAUAACUAAUAAAAUUCUUAAUCCUUGAUUGUUUUUUGAAAGUUUGAUAAAUACAGUUCUAUAUUUGUUUAAGUACUGCGAUGCUUAUUGAUGGAUAUUGGAGAGUUAAUGCUUUGUAUAGGAUAAAUCAAUCAAUUUGAGUAUGGAUUCUUACAAAAUAUUUAUUAAAUAAAACAUAUCAAAUUACUAAAAAUAUAUAACACUUAAAUAUUGUUUAACUAAUACAUUGUAUAAAAAAUUAAAUAUGUUUAACCUAUUUAAUUAAAUUUAGAAUGUAUUAAAUACACCAAAGUUAGUAUCUAUAUUUAGAAAUAAAUUAAAAAUACUAGCUAUAAUAAUAUACCAUAUUAUUUUGCAGGACCAAUGAUUUUGUGGAACGGGAAAUAUAGUAUUCUCGUCUCCGUCUUAGAAAAUUUUCUGCGUCUUCAUCCCUAUGGCUGCGUUUGGUUCGGGUAUAAGUAAGAACUGCUAGUUCGAGUGAUAGGUAUAAGUUCAGGUAUAAGAAGGAAUUAGACCAAUUUUGCGUUUGGAUGAAAAUUGAGUUGUUCCUAGGAAUAAGUUAAAUAGUGUUUGGAUAGUUAGAUUGGAACAAGAGGAAUAAAAGUUAUAAUUUAUUUGAAAUUAAAAUUAUAUUAUGUAAUUAGUUAACAUCAAAAUAUUACUGAAAAAUAAAUAAGAAAUUAAUUAUUAAUAAUUAAUUAUAAAUAAUAAUAAUUAAUAAUAAUUAAUUAUAAAUAAUAAAUUAUUAAUAACGAUUAUCUAAUUAAUAAUAAUUAUUAUUAUUAUUAAUUAUUAAUAAAUAAUAAUAAUUAUUAAUUAUUCUUAUUAAUUAAUUAUAAAUAAUAAAUUAUUAAUAAUAUUGAUUAUCUAAUUAUUAAUAAUAAUUAAUAUUAAUAUUAAUUAAUAAAUAAUAAUAAUUAAUAAAUAAUAAUUAUUAUUAUUAAUAAUUAAUUAUAAAUAAUAAAUUAAUAAUAACAUCGAUUAUCUAAUUAUUAAGAAUAAUAAUAAUUAAUUAAUUAUUAAUAAAUAAUAAUAUUAAUUUAUUAAUUAUUAAUUAUAAAUAAUAUAUUAAUAAUAAUAUCGAUUAUCAUUAAGAAUAAUAAUUAUUAAUAAAAAAUUAAUAAAUAUUAUUAAUUAUUAAUAAUUAAUUAUAAAUAAUAAAUUAAUAAUAAUUAUUAUUUAAUUAUUAAUAAUUAAUUAUAAAUAAUAAAUUAAUAAUAAUAUCCAUUAUCAUUAAGAAUAAUAAUUGUUAAUAAUUAUUAAAUAAAUAAUCAUAAAUAUUAUUGAUUAUUAAUAAUUAAUUAUAAGUAAUAAAUUAAUAAUAAUAAUUAUCUAAUUAUUAAUAAUUAAUUAUAAAUAAUAAAUUAAUAAUAAUAUUGAUUAUCUAAUUAUUAAGAAUAAUAAUUAUUAAUUAAUAAUGAUUAAUAAAUAAUAAUAAUAAUAGUUAAUUAUUAAUAAUUAAUUAUAAAUAAUAAAUUAAUAAUAAUAUCCAUUAUCAUUAAGAAUAAUAAUUGUUAAUAAUUAUUAAAUAAAUAAUCAUAAAUAUUAUUGAUUAUUAAUAAUUAAUUAUAAAUAAUAAAUUAAUAAUAAUAAUUAUCUAAUUAUUAAUAAUUAAUUAUAAAUAAUAUAUUAAUUAAUUAUUUAAUUAUUUAAGUAAUAAAUAAUAAUUUAAAUAUAUUAAUUAGAUUAAUUAAUAAUUUACUGUCAUUAAAAUUAAAUUUAGAUUUUAAUUAACCUUGUUCUCAUCAAGGAACAAGUUUGUUCCACGAAACAGGUAGAACAGCAAUUCCAGUCUUAUACCAGCUUGUUCCAGAUUCUCGGAAACUACUGUCUCCGGAAACCAAACAUACUAAUUUGGGAACAAAGGCAGGAACAAGAGCUUAUUCCCCCCGUUAUUUUCGAACCAAACGCUACCCAUAAGAAUAAAACAUUUUCAUUUUUGUUCUAUUUGGGACCGAUCCUCGUACAUUUGAAGAUAUGCAAGAUAGGAAUGUAUAUUUGUUCGUGAGCUCAAUUAAAAAAUUCACUUUAUUUGUUAACUUAACAAAAGUAUAUUAUUAAUAAUAUAUAAAAGCAAUUAGUGCCGCACUGAUAAUCUGAAAAUAAAAUAACACUUGGAUUCUGCAAUUGUUAUUAAUAAAGUUAAUAUUGAGAAUGCUACAGUUAAUUAAUCAUUAAUAAGAUAUUUUAUUUGCAAUUAAUUAAAUAAAAAUUCCCAUGUAUGUAAUAGUGCACAUUAAAAAGGAAAUGUACGAUCUCGGAACACGAAAGCGUACGGUACUUUCUCAACGGAAGUGUUAAAAAAAAAAAGGGACAGGAGGCAUCAAACGACAGAGAACAGCCCACGUGGCGAGAUCAGGACCACCGGAUGACCAGGGGACAGUUUCCCUGUACUAACGUAGCGCAAACCCCACUUCUCUCAACCCACGGUCUCCCGCGCGUUGACCGAGAAAUUAUGGCUGCACCCGGUGUAUUAGUACGCUUUAUGGAUCUUUUAUAAUAAUUAAUGAUUUGGCAAAAUUUUGCACAGACCCUCUGGGGGGAAAAAUUCUAGAAUGCAACGGGUAUAUUAGUGACGUGGCGUAACAAACUAAUCAAAUUAAUCCUUUUAAGAAUAUAUGUCCCAUCAUGAUUGUAAAAAAAUAUUUUUAUUGUACUUUUGUUUGAAAAGAAUGAAUGUGAUUGGCUUGUUAUUGAUGACGUGGUGUAAGUGUGACAGUGUAGAAUUCCUCCUCUGGGGGACUCAAAUUUCUAAAUUUAAAAUAGGGGGUAAAUUUUUUAUUAUAAAUGUAGAAAUUAUGUAGCCUUCUCGGAGACUCAAAUUUCACACAUACUCUUUUAGCUGACUAAAUAUUCAUAUAAUAUAAACGUAGAAACGAUGCAAUAGUGCUGUGAUUGGUGAUGACAAAAUAAAAUUGAGUCAAUAAAAUUGCAGGAAAAUUGAGGUUCAUGAUAAUUUUCUAUAUUUGAAAGGGUAUUUAUGAUAUUUUAACUUUUGUAGGGAUAUUCAUAAAAUUUAUAAGUUAUCUUAAAAAUGGUACAUGAUGUAUACCCCACCCAUCAAACGUGAGAUGAUUUUUACUAAUCACGUUAAUGUGACUACUGAAAAAGUCCCCACCCUAGGAUAGUAAAAAGUUUAGAAUGUACUGAUUAUAUUAUUAAUGUAACAUUUCUAACCAAUCAGACUGCCUUUCUUGGGUUCACCUAUCCCAUCAUGGUUAUUAGAAAAAUAUUUUUAUUAUACUUCUCUCAACGAGACAUGUGAUUUACAAAUUAUUGAUGAUAUGGUGUAAAUGUGACACAACAGACUUUUUUUUAGGAUAGAUGAGGUGUACAUAUAUACCUCUUUUGGGGUGUACAAAUAUUUUUAUUCGGAUUAAAAAAGAGUUAAGCACUAAUUAACUUAAUAAAAUGAUGGUUGUUUUUUUCUUAACAAUUCAUUGUAGGCAAAAUAUCAAUAUAUUUUACCUUCUAAACUGUUUGUUUUAUAACAAUAGCAGGACUUUUUAAUUUUUCAUUAGGUGUAUUAUAUCAGUUUUAUUUGAUUAAUUUUUUUAAAAAAUAUGUUAAAUUUAAGUUUACUAAAUUCUUAACUUGUUUGGAGAUAAAAUAAAAUUUUUGAAAUAGUUCAUUCAAUAUGAAUGUAAAUUUUACUAAUAAAUGGAUUUGAUUUUUUUUUUUUGAUAUCUACAAGGGCAUUGAUAAUAUUUUGAACUUUCAAAGAGCAUUCAUGAAAAUUACCAUUUNAGUAUUUAUCCAAAAAACUCUCGUUUCAAAGAUUUAAAAUAUCCUUUUUUCUAUGAACAUGUAAGAUUUACUCCAUAUAUUACAUGUGAAGUGGGCACUCUAUAGAAAAUGAUCGAUGUAGCUAUACUGAUUACCUUUUUAAAAUGAGAGUUUACUUGCCUUAUACGUAGUAUGUGGGAAAAACCCCACGUAUAUAUUGUAACGGGUAAAAUAAAAUCUUAUUAUUGUUAUUUUCUCUAUCAAAAGACUUACGGGAAUACAAUUUACCAUUAAAAGUACUUACGAGAAACUUUCAAGUUUUAUAAUAGUUACGGGAACAUCUAUAGUUUUUUUUUUUUAGUUUAGGUAAAUAAUCAUUUUAAAUGUAAGUAUAACUUACUUGAUAAAGUUUUUAAAAUAAAAUAGAGGUUUGUUCAAUUCUUAAAUCAUUUGAAUUUAAAUUGUAUAAAAAAUUUUUUUAAUUAGUUUAUUUUGACUAUAUUAUGUGGAUUACUUUUUAAUUUUUCAGGACGAUAACAAUAUUUUGUUUGUCAAAUCUUCCAUUUUAUAUAACUAUAAAACGGAUGUUACUUAACAAUUCUUUUUUUGUUGGUAGUAAAAUAAUUCAAUUAAUCACGAAUUGAGAAAAAAUUAGGCUUAUUUUUAUAAACAUGUGGGGUUUUCUCCAUAUAUACAUGUGGAGUAGAUAGGAUUUUUUUUCAGACAACACAGUGUAAAUGUGGUAUAGUAGUUAUUAAACAUUUAGUGUACAGAGCAACUCUCUUCAUAUUAUUUUUAUAAAAAGAUUAUUGGUACUACCCUAUCCACUUGGGUUCUUUCCGUCAGACUAACCAAUCUUUACAAUGUAAUUAUUAUAUUAGUCAUGUAAGAUUUGAAAAAUGAUAGGAUCCCACCCCUGAAAAAGUCAUCAGUGUAAUUGCACUAAUCAUUUUUAGUAGAGUGCAAACUACCCACCCCAUAUGUAGUACAUGGUAAAAAUUCUAUUGAAUAUUUAAAAUACUUAUAGGGAUGUUUUCAAUUUUAUAGUAUUUAUGGGAAAGUUUAUAUCUUUUAAUAGUACUUGGAGUUAAAAGGACGUUAAAAUAACUGAGUUAAAAUAAAACAGUAGUGGUUAGUGUCGUGAUAACGUAGCAAAGAUGCAAAUAUAAUAUACUUAUAAAUCAGUCGAUUUUCUCAUACACACUUUAAACUCAGAGGCUCUUCCGAUGUAUUAAAGAUGUAAAUAUUAUUUUUUAAAUGGGGGAUAAAAUUUAAAUCUUUAAACUCAGGGGGUCUCCUCCUUAAGAUGUGACAGUGUGAAUGUGGUGCAGUAGUUAUUGUUCGGUUAGUGUAAGUAAGAAAAGUUUGUUUUCAUGUUAUUUUUAUAAAAAAAUGUUAGUACUACCCUGUAUAUAAGAAUUUUCCUAAUUAAACUAAUCAAACAAUGCGGUGCAGUGAUUAUAUGGGCAACGUAAGAUCUUAAAAAGGGGGGUCUCCCAGACACGUUUUAAAACGGUUUAGUAAUUAAUAAUAUUUUCUAGGUAUUUCGCAUGAUUAUGUGGCCCACGUCGGUAUUAAAGAGCCAGUUGCGCGCCCUCUGGCACCCAACUCUCUUCACCCCAAACGCGAUGCAAUCAUGUCCCUUUGACAGGGGACCAGUAGGCCACCAGGACUAGAGCGGUGCACCCGACAAGAGACAGCAAACUACGGAGGACAGGGAAAAAAAAAAAUUGUGAAGGCAACUCUUUCAUGGCAUGCGAAAGCACAAGGCUCUAGCAUGUAAAGGAAAAAUUACACGUGAUAAUGUAUGUACCCUUAAAAAUAAAUUAAUUAACGUUUAUUUUAUAGAAUAAUUACUAAUUAAUUGACAUCGUAAGAGUUAUAAUUGAAAUAAUUAUUGUUAACGUCUUAGGUUCACAAUAAAAUAAAAGUCUAAUAGUCACGCCGUGAUUAACGAAAAUAUAUAAUAAUUAUUAUAUGAAAACAAUUCAAUUGUUUAUUUCACUUAAAAAAUUAACUCGAGUGCUUGUUUAUAUGUAAGGAUAGAACGUAUAGAAGUUUACAUGCUCCUAGCCAGGGUUUAUCUUGUUUUUACUUUUACAAAAUAAGAAUACCCAUCGCAAACCAAGCUUUUAUUGCCCCCCUUAUUCGAGAACAAGGACGGAAACAAGGGUUUAAUCAUACAAACCAAAGGCCUCUGUCAUCAAAGGCUCUUAGACCUUGUUCGACCAUAUUCUGACCUUAACGACAAGAUGGACAAAGCACCUUGUUUGAACAAGGAACUACUCUUGUUCCAAUUAAUUUUAGAUUUAAAUUAAAAUUACUGUCAUUUAAUAAUUAAUUAGAUUAAUUAUAUAAAUUUAAUAAUAAAUAAUGAAUUUAUUAAAAAAAAAAAGAACUCUGAUGUUAUUUAGGCAUUAAAUAACUUUUUAUUAGUCACAUUGAUGUAGCUAGUAAAAGCUAUCGCACCGGUGAAGUGUACAUUAUAUACCUCAUUUAGAAUGUACAAGUACCUUUUUUCAAGUACCUUUUUUUCUAGAGUUUUUUUUGCAUUUAGCCCCUUGGCAAAUUUUUUUUUUAAAAUAGUUUUGUCAAAAUUUAAUUUGCAAAAAUGGUCCUAGGCCUGCCACGCAGGCGCCACGUCAGCACCACACGGGCGGGGCUAGGGGGCGGUAGUUAAGUUAAACACGGUGAAUGGUUCACCUUGUUUGGUACGUAUUUUUUGUAUAUUAAAAAGAGGAAUAGGAAAUUUGUAUUCAUUUUCUUCUAUUUUUCAAAAAUCUGAACCCGAACCCGAACCCGAAAAUCAAAUUAAAAUUCAAACCCGGAUCCGAACCCGACGGAUUUUAAAAGUUCAUAUCCAUAUUCAUAUCUGACCAAAAACUUGAAACCCGAACCUGAAUCCAGCGGAUUUUAAAAAUCUAUACCGUUGGAUAAAGAUCUAAGAAAUAAAAAUUAUUAUAUUUUUUAUAUAUUGUAUAAAUAAAUAAAAAUAAAUUAUGUAUAUAUAUACUUAUUAAUUUAUUCGGGUUUGAAGUUCGAAUAAUAUUUCGGCACUAAUCCAUAGUUUAUUGAACGAUCACGUAUCUUAUAUCCUCUUUUCAUAAAAAUACGUACUAUAACACAGAUGACUAUUCAACCGUGUUUGAACCGGGUUAAGUGGUUCAUCCGUGUCACUUAAACACGUGUCCGCCUGCCGGGGGCUGACGUGGCGCUGCGUGGCAGGUACCCCAGGACCAUUUUUAGCAACUUAAUUUUGACAGGCGCUAAUUUUACAAAUAAAACAUUUGCACGGGGCUAAAUGUAUAAAAAGCUUUUUCCUAUAAAAUUUGGAAAUUUGCCAUUUCAAAAAAGCGCUAUUUAUUGAAAAAAAAAAACUCUGAUGUAUUUAGGUCGCUUAAAUAAUUUUAAAAUAAUAAUAUCCAAAGGGACGGUUAAUCUUAGGGAUUCUCAUAAGGGUAUUGGAUGUCCGAAAUUUAUUCGAAGCGAACCCGAGUGAAACGGCAUAUUCCGAAUGCUAAUGAAUUUGGAUUCAGAUUAUGGAUAUCAAAAAUAAAUAAUUCGACGGAAUCUGGAUUGGAUAUGAUUUUGGACUGAUAAUCGACCCAGAAGCCGAUUUAUUUUGUAUUAAUAUAAUAUAUAUAUAUUAAAAUUUUUGAUGUAUAUAUUUGAAUUUGUAUUUUAAAAUUCAUAGUUUAGUAUAAUAUAUUUUGAAAUAUUUGAAAAAAUAAAAUAAUUGUUUCGGGUUCAAAUUUUCGAGUUCUGCGUUCGGGUUCGGGUUCGAAUUUUUCGUUGGUUCGGGUUUGGAUAUCUGGAUUUGUCUAAAAUCCGUCGGGUGUUGAGAUUGGGGUUCGGGUGUUGCGUCUCGGGUUGUGGAAUCGGUCGGCGUUCGGAUUGUGUUGAAAAUCGCCCGAAUCGACCGUUUGACAUGCUCUAGUUAGAUCAUAAAUUUAGCAUUCAAAAUUUAGCAUUCUUGGUGCUUGUAAUUAUUUAGUCAUUGGAUUAAAAAAUAUGGUUAGGAUGACGUGGGCCCCCUAGGAUUGAGUGGAGUGGUUGGUUGAAUAUAGAUAUAAUCUAACGGUUGAAAAUGAUCAAAGACAUAAAUCUAAUGUAAAAAAAUUUUAUAAGGCACCAAUGUUUCAUGCUUUUACAAGCAUCAUAUCUGAACUAUUAUUAUAUAUAUAUAUAUAUAUAUAUAUAUAUAUAUUAUAUAUAUUAUAUAAAUAUAUAAUUUCAGAAGUAUAAAAGUUAUUGUUUCCGAAUUUUUUGAUUCUUAGACUAAAAAUUAUAGACUGAGAUCACAGUGGUCCUCAUAGGAGUUUAGUAAUUUCCGAAGAGAAUAAUAUUAAUUUAAAGAUAGAAAUGAUAAAAAAAAAUGAUUCAAAAAUGUAAAAAUGAGCACCACGUAAGUGCAGAUUUCGAGGACUUUUUUUAAAUAACCCUCUAAAAUUUUUAAAAUUUGCGCGAAUAACCCACUCAAUUUUUAUUUGUAAAAUAACCCUCUUUUGCCACGUGGCGCCACGUUAGAAUUUUUUUAAAGGGGUAAAUCGUUACGGCGUUUUUUCAUUUUUUUUAAAGAGGUGAAUCGUUCACCGUCUUUUCCUAUUUCUUUUAAAGAGGGUGAACUUUUCACCCGUUUCUCCCAUACUUUAUUUACUGUUAUUUUCUAUAUUCCAUAUAUAAUCCUAACAAUCACAUAAAAUUUAACAAAUUAUAUUAUAAUUUAACAACUUUUAAAUCUGAAUAUUAUCUAUAUAAUUUCAUAUAAUCUUAACUGCUUUUAUAUGAAAUUAUAUGGAUAAAUUAUUAGGAUUUAAAAGUUGUUAAGAUUAUAUGGGAUAUAGAAAGAAACAGUAAAUAAGUGAAAGACGGUGAAUGAUUUACCGUUUUUAAAAGAAAUGGGAGAAAGCGGUGAACGAUUCACCGCCUUUAAAAGAAAUAAGAGAAAACGGCGAACGAUUCACCGUCUUUAUAAGAAAAUCCUGACGUGGCGCCUACGUGGCGAAAGGAGGGUUAGUUUUACAAAUAAAAUUUUCAUAUAGUUAUUUUGCCAAUUACAAUUUUUUAGAGGGUUAUUUUAUAAAAAAGCCCGAUUUCGAAUCACAAUAGUUAGACUCAUUAUAUAUUACAUAUAUAGGUGUUCGAAUUACAGUGCAUGAAAUGUUAUAACACCGGGUGCAUGAAAUAAUUUACUCUCGAGUCAUACCAGUAUCGUGCAGUAGGAUCGGCAGCUACAGCCACCCCUACUCUGAGAAAUUAUUGCGUGCACUCAGUGUAUUCACUUGCCACAUGCACCGCGCAUAAUAAUAUCGUACUGCUAAUUAAUUCAUUGCAUUUUAGUUUCAAGCUUUUAAUUUUUGGUAAUAUUUCGGUUUAAAUUUUUAGAUUAUUAUAAGCAAAAUUCACGAUCUAAUUUACUUUACUAUAUCAUAAUGUAUUAUUGAUUUACAUUUUAUUUGAGACCUUAAAGAAAAUUGAUGCCUAAAAUUUUAUAAUUUUAUAUAUAUAUAUAUAUAGGCGAGAGGAGCGGUGCAUGGGGAUGCACUCGUACACCUGUUGCGGGCGAUAAUUUUUUCGCCAACCCACUCCGCACGUGCGACCAAAACCGCCUCUUAAAUCUCACAUAGGUUAAAAUGUAUGAAGAACCCCUACACUACCGUUCAUCUGAAAUGGACCCUUCAACUAAUUAAUUUUUUUCUUUGUUUACUGUGAAUUCUUUGAUAAAUUUUUUGAUUGAUUAGAGAUGUUAAAGCAACACUAAUAAGUAAACAAAUUUGGAAGUUGAAGGAUGUGAAUCGGAAAUGGAAUAUCGUUGAGGAGUUCUUUAUACAUUUUGCACCAAGCUAAGCUAAUAAACACCCACCCACUCCACCACUUUUCCCCUCCCAAACCCCUCUGUUUUUUGCCUCUUCGUCCCACUCUACAGAUAAACCGAAUCUUUCCCCUCUCUCUCUCUCUCUCUCUCUCUCUCUCUCUCUCUCCUUUCCUCUUUCUUCUUUUUCUGCUAUUAACCCCUCUCAAGCGUUGUUGUUGUGUGUGUGUGUGUGUGUGUGUGUGUGCGCGAGAGAGAGAGAUAGAGAGAGAGUAGCGUUGAUACACCGUGUGGAAUCAGAACAAUAUCUUACUUCGCUUUUUUUUUUUUUUUUUUCUUCUUUUUGUUCCUCUCAAUUCUUGCGUGAUUUGUACGGUAUAUCACCGCCGCUCCCUUGCUAUCUGUCUCCCUCUCCCUCUCCCCCAAGCUUCUUCUGAGGACAAGAAAAGGAAGCCCAAAAAAAAGAAAAGAAAAGAAGAAGAAGAAAUCUCUUAUUUUGUUGUUGUUGUUGUUGUUGUUGUUGUUGCUGCUGCUGCUGCUGUUGUUGUUGUUGUGUUUGUUUGUUACUGUUGUUGUUGUUGUUGUUGUUGUUGUUGUUGUUGUUCGGAGAUGGAGAGGAGCGACCCGGCAUCGUACUGGUUCGGCGACGACGACGACGACUUCGACCCCGCGGCGCUCCCCGCCCUCGAUCGCGCCGCGGACGACGACGGCGGCUUUCUCUCCGAGAUCGACCGCAUCCUCGAGAGCAUCAACUCAGAACAGGCCUCGCCCCCGGCCCCGGCGGCGGCGGCGGCGGCGGCGGCGGCGGCGCCGCCGCCUGAAAUUGUUGUGGCCUCUGAAUUCGCAAUCGCCGAGACGGCAGCGGCGGCGGUCCUCGGGAAGGAGUUCGUCGUCAAGAACGGCGGAGCGGCGAGGAGGGACGGCGAUUGGAGGGAUCGGAGAAGGCGGGGGGACGGCGAGUGGGGCCGGAAGAGAGAGCGCGACGGCCUCGCCGGAGACAGGAGGGAGUGCCGGCGAGGGUAUUGGGAGCGCGACAGGUCCGGGAAGGUCGUCUACCGUGUCGGCUUUUGGGAGCCCGACUGCGAAAGAGAGGCCAAGAGAGUGCGAAGGGGUAGCCCGGAGCAAACCAGGGCGAGCCCCGAGUCGCGGCGGACGGAGGAUGCCGCCGCUGCCGCAGCGGCAAAGAAGGAGAAGCCGGCAGAGGAGCAGGCGCGGCAGUACCAGCUCGACGUCCUCGAGCAGGCGAAGAAGAAGAACACCAUCGCCUUUCUUGAGACCGGGGCCGGGAAGACCCUCAUUGCCGUGCUUCUGAUCAAGAGCGUCUGCGCAGAUUUGCUCAAAGAGAACAAGAAGAUGCUCGCCAUCUUCCUCGUCCCAAAAGUCCCUCUUGUGUAUCAGGUAGUAUAUCUAGCACAAGAGGAAGCUCUGAUAUUGUGUGCUUGUUUCUAAGGGUUUUGAAUUUUGAUGAUUACAGCAAGCGGAGGUCAUUCGCGAGAGGACCGGGUGCAAUGUCGGGCAUUACUGCGGGGAGAUGGGACAAGAUUUCUGGGAUGCUCGGAGAUGGCAACGCGAAUUUGAAUCCAAAGAGGCAAGAGUCUCAUUUUUUUUUUCUCGAAUUUCCUCGUGAAAAGUUAAUCUUUUUACUCGUCUCUAUAUCUUAAUUUUUGAUAUCUUGGUUCAGUUUAGUGUGCAACUUCGAUGGGGAUAUGUUUUCAAAGGAACUUCCGUACUAAGAUUUAAACAAUUCGCUUUAUUAGCUUCGGAGGAAUUUUUAGGAGAUUCUUCAAGAACAUAUUGAAAUGAGUUGUUCUUUGCAGGUACUAGUUAUGACAGCUCAAAUUUUAUUAAACAUUCUCAGGCACAGUAUAAUUAAAAUGGAAGCUAUCCAUCUUCUAAUUUUGGAUGAGUGCCAUCAUGCUGUGAAAAAACAUCCAUAUUCCUUAGUGAUGUCUGAAUUUUAUCAUACAACUCCAAAGGAUAGAAGGCCUGCUGUUUUCGGUAUGACGGCUUCUCCUGUCAACUUGAAGGGUAUGAUCUUUUUGGAGUGUUGUGUUGUUCCAUCGUAACUUUCCGUUGUUCUUUUCUUGGCUAGCACAUGCAAUAGCAUUCGCCAUCUUGUGUUCCAAAACUUCUGCUAGUAGUGAAUUGGAUUUUUUUUUUUUUCUUUCUGCUCAGGAGUUUCUAGUCAGGAGGACUGUGCUAUCAAGAUUCGGAAUCUUGAAAGCAAAUUGGAUUCCAUUGUGUGUACGGUGAAAGAUCGAAAAGAGCUGGAGAAACAUGUUCCUAUGCCUUUGGAAAUUGUCAUCCAGUAUGAUAAAGCAGCUACUCUCUGGUCGCUGCAUGAGCAAAUUAAACAAAUGGAAGUGGCUGUUGAAGAAGCUGCGCGCUCUAGCUCGCGAAGAAGCAAGUGGCAGUUCAUGGGAGCUCGAGACGCGGGGUCAAAGGAGGAACUGCGCCUCGUCUAUGGUGUUUCCGAAAGAACUGAAAGUGACGGUGCUGCUAAUUUAAUUCAGAAAUUGCGAGCUAUAAAUUAUGCCCUAGGUGAACUAGGACAAUGGUGUGCUUAUAAGGUAUAUUUCAUUAUAUCAAAUUGCCUGUAGCUAAUGUUUUGCAAACACAUCAUAUUUAAAUAGCUCUUGCAAAACUGGUUUCAGGUUGCGCAAUCAUUUUUGACAGCUUUGCAAAAUGAUGAAAGGGCUAAUUACCAGGUUGAUGUCAAGUUUCAAGAGCAAUAUCUAAUGAAAGUUGUAGGAUUAUUGCAAUGCCAGCUGUCUGAGGGAGCUGUCACGAAAAAUGAUUCAGACAAUGCAAAUAUGCGCAAUGGUGACUGCCAGUGCACGGAAGAACUAGAGGAGGGGGAGUUGCCGGACAGUCAUGGUCGGUGCUUGAGUUUGGCUUGUUACUAGCUUUUCUCAAUCUUCUAAAUUUUUCACUUUCGUUUUAUAGAUCUUUUUUGUGGGUUUUUUUUUUUUUUUUUUUUUUUUCCAUUUGUUUAGUUUAUCUGAUUUUGUCUGCAUUGCAACUUUUGUAGCCGUCUCUGGUGGUGAACAUGUAGACAUUAUCAUUGGAGCUGCUGUGGCAGAUGGAAAAGUUACUCCUAAGGUGCAGGCGUUGAUUAAAAUACUUCUUAAGUACCAACACACAGAGGAUUUUCGUGCUAUUAUCUUUGUGGAGCGAGUGGUUGCUGCAUUAGUUCUUCCCAAGGUUAAAUAUACCCUACUGCUUUAUUUAUUUAUCUGCGAAAGAUCUUAUAGUGAGCCUAGAUCACUUUAUGUAACUCUUUUUCUUUCCAUAUUCAGGUCUUCUCAGAGCUUCCGUCCUUGAGCUUCAUUAAAUGCGCGAGUUUGAUUGGACACAACAAUAAUCAGGAGAUGCGCACAUGCCAAAUGCAGGACACGAUCGCUAGAUUUCGUGAUGGAAGGGUAUGUUUUAAUUCCAGAAAUUUCUGGGUGCUAAAAUCAUAUAGCUGCAACUAGUGCUGGGAUUCAUAUUUUUAAUGAAAUUUUUGUUGGCCGCUAUUUAGCUUGCUUAUUGUUUAUUUGCAAACUGGCUGUCCCCUUGAAGUACUGUCUUCUGAAAUAAUACUAAGAAGUCUUGCCCACCUUUGGAGCAAAGUUGAUGUACGAUGAAGUUGUUCAUUGUAACAUGCAGGUUACUUUACUAGUAGCUACAAGUGUAGCUGAGGAAGGACUUGAUAUUCGGCAGUGCAAUGUUGUUAUUCGUUUUGACCUUGCAAAAACUGUUCUAGCUUAUAUCCAAUCAAGAGGUCGUGCUAGGAAGCCUGGAUCAGAUUACAUAUUGAUGCUUGAAAGGUACUUGAUGUUUACUAGGAAGUUGUAUACACUACUAGUUAUUUAUCUUAUUUUGCUAAACCAGACUGAUGUAAUUUUCAGGGAGAACUUAUCACAUGAAACAUUUUUGAGGAAUGCCCGUAAUAGUGAGGAAACGUUGAGAAAGGAAGCUAUAGAGAGAACUGAUCUCAGUCAUCUUAAAGGUACUCCUAGGUUAAAUCCAAUUGAUAUAUUACCCGGUUCGAUGUAUCAGGUGGAGUCAACAGGUGCUGUUGUCAGUUUAAAUUCUGCUGUUGGACUCAUCCAUUUUUACUGCUCCCAGCUACCCAGCGACAGGUACUUGCCUUUCAUGAGGAACUGUAGAUCUCUAGGUCUUUCUCUGAAUUGCCUUUUUUUAAAAUUCUUUUUAUAAUUUUGUGAAUUUAAUGCAUCUUAUGUUGAAUUAGAUAUUCAAUACUUCGUCCGGAGUUCAUAAUGGAAAGACAUGAGAGGCCUGGGGGCCCAACUGAAUAUUCCUGCAAGCUUCAACUCCCUUGUAAUGCUCCAUUUGAGAAGCUUGAGGGUCCUAUAUGCAGUUCAAUGCGCCUGGCACAGCAAGUAUGAUUAUAUUUGGCUACCAAUUAUUAUCAAACAAUGUGGGUAUCAGAAAAAGUGUGAACUGGGAGUUGUCUCUACUUUGCAGGCUGUUUGUUUGGCUGCUUGCAAGAAACUACAUGAAAUGGGAGCAUUUACGGACAUGCUUUUACCUGACAAAGGAAGUGGAGAGAGGGGUGAAAAAGUUGAGCAGAAUGAUGAAGGUGAUCCGCUUCCUGGAACAGCACGGCAUAGAGAGUUCUAUCCUGAAGGUGUUGCAGAAAUUUUACAGGUGAGUUCAUUUCAAACUCUGUUAUUUAUUUCCAAUCAUUUUUCGCAUCAUUUGAAUUGUUGUUUACGGAAGGUGGUGAUAUUCCAAUUUAUAGGUUUAGAGGGAAUUCUUUCAUUAUUAUUAGUGUAAUCAUGCUUGCAAAUUUAGUCAUCCAUUUGAGAAUAAUUUUUGCUGAAGAUUGAUCUGAGAUUCGCUUUGAUAUUAGCAUCAUCUAGAAGACAAUAACUGAAAAUCUACAAUGCAAGUUAUUUUUUUUCCACUGUAAAGCUUUUGCUUUUUCACUAAAGUUUAAACAUUUCCUUUUUGCAUACUAUUUCGGGUUUCUAUUGGUCUUGCUCAGGCAAAUGGGCAAUUGAUAGAUCUAAACACAUCUUUAAGCCUUGGAGGGUGGAUCUGUCAUUUCAUUUAUUGGGUGAUGUGACCUUCAUUUAUUUCCAUUUUUGUUACAAAGAAAGGACAUAGACUAAGACUGAGCGAAUUGACGGAAAAAAAAAAAAAAAUCAGGCUUCUAUCAGAUUAAUAGUGUGCAGUGAUUUUCCUCAUUCCAUGGUGUCUGGUUACUAUUCUUACUGCUGCACCACCAUCAAGUGCUUUUUCGACCCUUGUCUCUCGAGUAGUGUACUUUUUUUCUUUUUGCUAGGAACGCAUUCGAAGCCUUACAUUGGAGUUAUCUUUAUGAAUGCAGGGAGAGUGGAUUUUAUCUGGGAGAGAUGGCUCCCACAAGUGUCAAUUGUUCAAAUUGCAUAUGUAUGCUGUCACCUGCGUUAAUAUUGGGACUUCUAAGGACCCAUUUCUUACGCAAGUUUCAGAUUUUGCUGUCCUUUUUGGCAGUGAGCUGGAUGCAGAGGUAUAAAUUGAUUACCGCUUUGCCACACAAUCUGGAAAUGGUUUGUUCAUCUCUAAGAACUCGUUUAUAUUUUGUAGGUUUUAUCGAUGACGAUGGAUCUCUUUGUUGCUAGAACAAUGGUUACAAAGGCAUCUCUUGUCUUCCGGGGACCAAUAGAGAUAAUGGAAACUCAGGUUUGUUGCUCUUCUCUAUCAUAAGAAAUAUAUAUGGUAUAAGCUGCUGAUUUUUCACUUUUGGUAUUAAUAUUUUUUUCCAGCUGGUUUUGCUGAAAAGCUUUCAUGUUAGACUCAUGAGCAUUGUACUUGAUGUCGAUGUUGAACCCUCGACGACUCCAUGGGAUCCUGCAAAAGCCUAUCUAUUUGUGCCUAUAGUAGCUGAGAAAUGCGUUAAUCCUGUAGAAGAGAUUGACUGGAUGCUGAUUGAUAACAUAGUGAACGAACACGCAUGGAAGAAUCCACUUCAGAGGGCACGCCCUGAUGUUUACUUAGGUACCAAUGAGCGAACCCUUGGUGGAGAUAGGAGGGAGUAUGGGUUUGGAAAACUACGUCAUGGAAUGGCUUUUGGUCAAAAAGCCCAUCCUACUUAUGGUAUCAGAGGAGCUGUUGCGGAAUUCGAUGUUGUUAAAGCUUCUGGGUUAGUCCCUAAUCGGGAUUAUGGAGUAAGCAUGGAUGAAGCUUAUUAUUAUAGUCAAGGUAAAUUAUUCAUGGCAGACACCUGUAUGGACACGAAAGAACUUGUUGGAAGGAUUGUAACAGCUGCACAUUCGGGGAAAAGGUUCUAUGUCGAUUCUGUUCGCUACGAAAUGAAUGCUGAGAACUCAUUUCCCAGGAAGGAGGGUUACCUAGGGCCGUUGGAGUAUAGCUCUUAUGCUGAUUACUACAGGCAGAAGUAAGUUAAAUAUUCCUUUGUUGAAUGUGUCCUGUAUAUAAGCUUUCAAGAGAUUCUAAUGUAUCAGGUUUAUAAGCUAUCAAGAUAUUCUAAGUUCGGGUCAAAUAAAAUUCACAUCGUUGUGUCUUUCAAUUGUUUUCAGGUAUGGUGUAGAGUUAAUUUAUAAGAAACAACCUCUUAUACGAGGACGGGGCGUCUCAUAUUGCAAGAAUCUUCUCUCCCCUAGAUUUGAGCAUUCUGAAGGUAGUUUUUGUCAUCUCCUUUUGCCUUUUUUUUUUUUUGUGCCUUAUUCUCAUUUUCACUUCUAACUGGCAGAACUUUGGGUUUUUGUAGCACGAGAUGGUGAAUCCGAGGAGAAUCUAGACAAGACCUACUAUGUAUUUUUACCUCCCGAGUUAUGCCUGGUUCAUCCACUUCCUGGAGCUCUAGUCCGUGGUGCUCAAAGGUUGCCCUCGAUAAUGAGAAGGGUAGAGAGCCUUCUUCUGGCAGUUCAGCUGAAGGAUAUGAUCAACUAUCCUGUCCCCGCUUCAAAAGUACUUCCAGCUCCCUCAGUCUGUUUGUUUCCAAAUCGAUACUAAAAGAACCGGUUUUUCUUGAAAAUCUUUAAUUUGCUUAUUUGGCUCCAUGACCUCUUCUUUUUUUUGUCCUUUGGCCAGAUAUUGGAAGCCUUGACGGCAGCUUCAUGUCAGGAGACAUUCUGCUAUGAAAGAGCGGAGCUGCUUGGCGAUGCAUACCUCAAGUGGGUUGUCAGUAGAUUCCUUUUCCUAAAAUAUCCUCAAAAACAUGAGGGGCAACUUACCAGGAUGAGGCAACAGAUGGUGAGUAACAUGGUACUGUACCAAUACGCCCUUAAUAAGGGGCUCCAAUCGUACAUACAGGCAGAUCGCUUUGCCCCUUCUAGAUGGGCUGCUCCUGGAGUUCUUCCUGUUUUCGAUGAAGACACCAAAGAAUUGGAUUCGUCCAUUUUUUAUGAAGAAUCUCCUGCUGAUGACGGUGAGCUUCAAAAGGACUAUUACGAUGAUUGUGAAGAAAAUUUCCGAGAAGAUGGUGAAAUCGAGGGUGAUUCAAGCUGCUAUAGAGUUCUCUCUAGCAAAACUUUAGCAGAUGUUGUGGAAGCAUUGAUUGGGGUCUAUUAUGUUGAAGGUGGGAAAAUUGCAGCAAACCACCUUAUGAACUGGAUCGGGAUCCAAGUGGAGCUGGACCCACUGGAGAUUCCCCCUCCAAAGCCAUAUAAUAUACCUGAAAGCGUGAUGAGGAGCAUCGAUUUUGAUUCCCUAGAAGGCACAUUGAACAACAGGUUUAGAGACAGGGGACUACUGGUUGAGGCCAUUACGCAUGCCUCGAGGCCUUCGUCGGGUGUUUCUUGUUACCAAAGGCUCGAAUUUGUUGGUGAUGCUGUGUUGGACCAUUUGAUCACAAGGCACUUAUUCUUCACGUACACUGACUUGCCCCCUGGUCGCCUGACUGACUUGCGGGCUGCAGCUGUAAACAACGAGAACUUUGCACGGGUUGCGGUCAAGCACAAGCUGCACGCGCACCUUCGUCAUGGAUCAAGUGCAUUGGAGGCACAGGUUUGCUUGUUUUCAUUCACCUGUUUCUAGCUUAAAGGGAUUAAAAAUGAGUAAAUGAAUGUUUUGUUUUGUUGAAGAUUCGGGAAUUCGUGAAGGAAGUACAAGAAGAGCUGUCAAAACCAGGUUUCAACUCUUUCGGUCUUGGAGAUUGUAAGGCUCCAAAGGUUCUUGGAGAUAUUGUUGAGUCUAUUGCUGGAGCCAUUUUUCUUGACAGUGGGCGUGAUACUUCAAUAGUUUGGACGGUAGUUUUUUGGUUCUUUCAGUUGAUUCACUAUUGUAGCAUUUUUAUUCCAGAUCCCAUGAAAGAAUGAAAUAAUAUUUUGGGUAAAAUGUAUGGAAAGUCCCUUACUAUGUUAUUAUUGCUAGUUGGUCCCUAAACUUAAAGACUUAGAAGUCCUUUCGUAAUUAAGUUAUCUUACAACAUGCGACUUCUUCCUAUAAUGUUGUAACCUUUUUAACUGCUUCAAGAACAAUGGAAUAAGUAGUCAUUAUAGACAGUUAAGAUGACCUAUACAGGAUCAGCUGUACUUAUUUAUUUUUAUGAAAUUGCAAUAUAUGAGAAGGCUCAAGAAUUAAAAUCUUUCAGUGAAGAGUUCAGAGGCUAAAUCUCAAUGUCAGGAUUGUACAUGGAUACCUUACUGAUUUUUGCAGCAAAAAAGGUCAUAUGAUUGAUUCCUUUUGCCACCCAGGUAUUCCAACCGUUGCUGCAUCCGAUGGUGACCCCGGAGACUCUUCCGAUGCACCCAGUGAGGGAGCUCCAAGAGCGCUGCCAGCAACAAGCUGAGGGCUUGGAAUACAAAGCGACGCGCGCAGGCAACGUAGCUACAGUGGAAGUUUUCAUCGAUGGGGUUCAGAUUGGAAUAGCACAGAACCCACAGAAGAAAAUGGCGCAGAAAUUGGCUGCGAGGAAUGCUCUCCACACCUUGAAGGAAAAGGACAGCGCAUUGAAGAGAGAUCCAGAGAAGAACGGUGAAAGGAGGAACGGAACUCAGAUGUUCACAAGGCAAACUCUAAACGACAUCUGCUUGCGAAGGCAAUGGCCGAUGCCGCAAUACCGCUGUGUGAACGAAGGUGGCCCUGCACAUGCGAAGAGGUUCGUCUAUGCGGUGCGUGUUAACACAUCCGAUCGUGGAUGGACCGAUGAGUGCAUUGGGGAGCCCAUGCCUAGCGUGAAGAAGGCGAAGGACUCUGCCGCUGUUCUUCUCCUCGAGCUUCUUAAUCGAUCGUAUCCUGAUAAUAAUAAUAAUAAUAAUAAUAAUAAUGAUAAUGAUAUUAACAACAACAACAACAACAACAACAACAACAACAACAAUACAAUAAUAAAUAAUUAUAAAUAAUUAUAAUUGCUGUUGUUUUGUUAUUAUAUUAUUAUUUGAAUGGUGCCAUUCCUUGUGGUCUCUGUUAAGUGCAGCUAGAGCCUAAACAGAGACAAGCUACACAGACAAGUGAAGUAUUCUUUAUGUGCAAUGUUGUAUGCCAGAUGGUAAUUAUUAACUUAAUUCUCUUGAGAGUGGAAAGGAAUGAAAAGAUGUUUUCUUUCAACUCUGUUGUUGCUGGUUCUGUUUCUAAACUGUUUGUUCCCAAGAUGUGUAACUGGAAACCAGAAUCCCAGGACCUGGAGUUGUUAUGUGCCGAUUUAUCGGUUUACUGGUAAAUGUGAUAGUAAUAAUUUUAAGUAGAUGAAGAAUGUUCAGGUGGAGAGAUCAGGUAAACUUGUUUGCUUAUUUCAUGUAACCCUAAGAAGUGAUUGAUUUCCUUGUUUAAUUUAAUUAUAAAUCAUCCAUGUAGAGAACAAGGUAAGUAUCUUGACUAUCAGGACUAAUAAAUAGGGUAAAAUGAACUUCAGCUUUUUGGUAAAUUGAUUUUGAACUUUGAAUUUUUGGCAAGGGAAAACUUCAAAAACCCCUCAUGUGGUUUCGCACUUUUUCACUUUAGUAUUCUAUGGUUUAAAAUGUAUCAAUUUGUCCCCAUGUGGUUUUGUUUUUAUCUUUUCUAUAGUUUUUUUUUUAAUAUUUCGUUAAAUUAUAUACAAAAAACUUCAGAUACCCAUUUAGAUUCACUGAAUAUUUACUUUAGUACUCUUUAAUUUUAAUUUUGUCACUGAUUUAAGAAAAAAAAACAAUAAAAUUGAUAAAAAAAAAAGAGAAAAACGAAACCACAGUGGCGCAAAUUGGUACACUUUAAAUCAUAUGGUACUAAAGUGAGAAAGUGUGAAAUCACAGGGGGAGUUUUUGAAGUUAUCUUUUUUAGUAAUGAGGCCUUGUACAUUUUAUUGAAUAGUUUAAUAAUUAUACAGUUAUUUUGAUCAUGUCUUGCAUAUCUUCUUGUGAACGCAAGAAGAAAACAACAAAAAUAGAAUACAGGUUCACUAUGUUCUUCGACCCUUAUACUUAGUUAUCAAAAUUAGAGUAGGGAAAAUAGGCAUUUUUUUUUUUUUGUAUUUUGAAUCUUACAAGAAUAUAUGCAUGACAUGCUAUCGAAAUUGUUGUAUUUAAUAAUUGUGAUUAAUUAACCAUUUGAUAAAUUUUAAAAGGGUCUAGUUGUCAAAAGUAAAAGUUUUUUUUUUUUUUUGAGAAAAUCAAAAGUAAAAGUUGGGACGUCUAUUUUUAGGACUACUAAAAUAUAUAGCUAUAUUUUUUCCCUAUUAUUUUAUAGCUAUCUUUUUUCCCUAUUAUUUUAAUUAGAGAAUCCCUAAUGUGGACAUGUUUGUUUAACUGGAGUGUGGAGAAUGAAGUUGUUUCCCGUCACAAAUAUCCACUUUCGUUAUUAAAUUUAGCGUAAAUUAAAUUUUUUUUAUAACUCAACUGUUAAAAGAAAUAUAUAAUUGGCUUCGUCCUGUCCUGUGUGGCAUUGAAGUCAAUUAUGAAAACAAAGGAGAGAAAGAUAAUUAAAAAAUAACUCCAAUAAUUUUUGUCAUUCUCUUAUGUGUUGGUAUGAAUAUUCUAAAUAAAAUAAUUAAGAAGUGAAAUAACUAAAGUUUUAAAAUCAUUAACUUGCUAUCAAAUAGGCAUUGAAAGAAAAAUACUUUUAUCUAAGUUUUAUUUCACCUAGAAGUUAUUUUUAUUUACAGCAAACAGAAAAGCCCGUAUUAUGUUACCAUGAAGACGAUUGAAUAUAGUUGGAUUUAUGAAAAACCAUAUCUGCAUCCAUAUUUUUCUUCGAAUGCGAAUUUGAAUGUAAAUAUGUGAUAGAUGCUAAACUUUCAUUAUUAGAUUCAGAUUUAAGUUAGAUAAUAAUAUAUACUAAUAUGUAUAUAUAAAUAUAAACUAAAAUUAAUAUAAAUAAGACACACAAUAUAACUAAAGAUUCACACUCAUUUUCGAACUUCAUAUACAUAUAUUUUAUUCAAUAAAAUUUAAUAUUUUAAAAAAUAUUAAUUUAUACUUAAAAUAAACAAAGAAAGUGAUAGAAAAUUAAUUUAUUUUUCUAUAAUAUAUAUUAAUAUUUUUUUCUCUUAAGAGUAAAAACAGUCGAAUACAGUGCAACUUUUUAAGAAAUCAUAUUUACAAUCUUUUUUGUUUUUGUUUGUUUGUUUGUUUGUUUGUUUUCUUUUGGGCUUUUUUUGCAUUUGGCCCCUUAAAAAAAAAUAUUUUAAAAAUAGUUUCAGUAAAUUUAUAUUUACAAAAAUGACCCUAGUCCUGCCACGUAGGCGUCACGUGAGCGGGGCUAGGGCCAGUUUGUUAAGUUAAACACUGUGAAGGCGUGGCGGGGAUACGGCCAAAUUUGCAAUUAUAAGUUUGACGGAGUUAUUUGCAAAAAAAAAAAUUUGAGGGGCCAAAUGCAAAAAAACCCUUUUUUUUCUUUUUUUUUUUUUUCUGUGAGUAUCGAAUACUAAAUUUUUAUAUUCAUAUUUGCAUACUACCGAAUCAGAUGUACCCUACCCACUUUCACCCUUACAGUGUCUCUAUUUCCAACAAAGACAAAUUAGUAACAUUAAUUAUUAAGCGUCUUCCGCAUAUAAAGAAAAGUAAAAACGAAACUUAAAAAAAAAAAGUGAGGAAGAGGAGGAAAAGCCGAGAAGAGGAGGCGCGAUCGAUCCCUAAUCUAUCGUUCUCAUCAAAAAGGUCUUUAAUUCAUGCUUCCACUCUUCAUAUUCUUUUGAUUUCCUUUCUAUUGAUACUCAUUUAUCUAUAAUGCAAUCAAGUAUUUUAGAGAGGAAUCUGAUGAGAGUUAUGAAAUUUCUAGUAGUUACUGGUGAUGUUUUUGUUUAAUUUCUUAGGUUAUUAUUCUUUAAUGAUACAUUGGGUGGUUUUCAUGUAAUAAAUUUGGGAUAUUGGUGGAGGAAAAGAGGGUUGUUUUUCAAGGGAUUAAAAUUGGGUUUUUGGAAGCGUCGGUUUAGUUCCCUCCCUCACCAUUUUGGCCCCCUCAAACCCUAACCUGUUUGUUUUACCGAAAGUGAAAUUCAGGACGGAGUAGACUUUCAGAUCAACUUGAGUUCAAGUAAAAAUUACUUUUUUUUCUGCUGUUUGGUUGUAAUAGUUGUGGAAUUGAAGUUCUUCAAGUUAUACAGUUUAUUUGGCAGAAAAUGAAUGACGUAAAAGUAGGAUGUGUGAUAGAUGGAUUAAUAAUUUUUUUUUUAUUAUUAUUAUUUUCACUUGGGGUGGGAUGAAAUCAAUUACUCUACUUUGGAGAGUUUUGAGUUUUGACCGAAUGUGAAAUUACGUUGAACCAAACAACGGCAGUAGACAUUUACGUCCGUAAACCAUUUCACUCCUUUCCACUUUCAGUGAAACAAACAUAAACCAGGAUAAUAUUGUCGAAUUUGUCAAUGUUGGAUUAUGUAAAAGUAUGAUUUGUGGAAAUGGUAACUUUAGAUUAGUACUGUUUAGGUAGGGUUGCUCUUUUUGGAUGGCUCUAUCUUUAUUCUUGAUGGUAAUUUUGUUUUCCUUUUUUUUCCACACAGAUAAUAAAUACAUAAUUAUGCGUGUAUAACUGUAUAUAAUGGUGUAUGAAUGUAUGUCCAGUGCAUUGUAGGAGGAUAAUGAGAAUUUGCACUAAACAGUCCGCGCCAAACUUUGCUGAUCCUUUGUUCAUAUAUUUUUCCACAUUCUUUAAGUUAGUCUUUUGCAGACUUGUAACUUGUGUCUAAUUUGGCGUGGCCCCGAAAGCAUAAAAAAAAUGGUUCAGAAAAUUUCUGAAAGAAUAAAUUUGAGGGUGGAAUUUUAAUGCUGAUGCAAUUUCUGCAGCGAUGGCAUCCUCUUCUGAUUCAUGGAUUGGGGAGUUUAAUGAUGCUUCUAAACUUGCCGACGAGGUUAGUGCGAUGAUUUCGGAAAGGAGCCGUCUGCCACCUUCAGGCCCGGAAGCACUACGCUAUGCUACUACUAUCCGGAGAAAGAUUACAAUUCUUGGAACUAGACUGGAUGGCUUGGAGUCCCUUCUGUCUAAGCUUCCUGCUAAGCAGACAAUGUAUGAUCUGGCACCUCUCUUGCUUGUCUCCCUGCCAAAAGUGAUGAUGAUGUUUUCACUUUGUAAUAAGCUGUUACUGUCAUUGCUUUUCUCGUCCAUAAUUUUCUUUAAUGGGAUACAAAAUUGAAUCUAUAUGUUUUAUAGUUGCUAUCAAGUUGGAUUUAUAUGAAUUGCUGUUCGAUCUGUUGGGUAAGUUAAACUUUUUUUCGGUGCUUCUAAUUCUUUUCGUGUAAUAUUCUUUCCGGAAUAACUAGUCUUCAUCUCCAUUUUGAGCUUUCAAUUGGCCUUAUGGAACAUGUUUGAAAUUACACUUAUUCUUAAUGUUAGUCGUUUGAAUGCUUAUCUGACAUUUAGCUAAAUAUUCAGAAGUAAAAUCAGUAAGUUGCUAAAAUUCAAUUUCUUGGCAUGUUGCUUUUCUUUCUUAUGAUUCAGUUACUCCAGUUACAAUAAUGAGAAGUAGUGCCUUUUUAUAUCGAAAUUAUGUCCUAGUAGAUCUAUAUCCUUCUGCAUUUAUGUACUCUUUCUGUAAACCUCAUAUUAUCUGCAGAUCUGAUAAGGAGUUGCAUAAGCGCCAGGAUAUGCUUUCUAGUUUGAGAUCUAAAGCAAAAGAGAUGGCCUCAUCGUUCAACAUAUCAAACUUUUCUAGCAGGUUUGCCUACAUUUGAUUUUGUUUAAAGGCUGUAAAAAAACCAUUUUUGAAAAAUGAAAUUAAGUUUGGAUUUUCCUUUUUCUUUUCGGACGACAUUAGGGACGACCUACUUGGGCCGAGCACAAAAACAGCUGAUGAGAUAAACAGAGCUGCAGGGUUGGACAGUCAUGGUAUUGUUGGUUUGCAGAGGCAGAUUAUGAGAGGUACACCUACGAAAUGUACAUUUCUUCAAUACUCAAAAGUCUCUCUUGGCAUUUACAUGCUGUUAUCUACUAUAUAUAGAACAAGAUGAGGGUCUCGAGACGCUAGAGGAGACAGUACAUAGCACAAAGCAUAUUGCAUUAGCAGUCAAUGAAGAACUGGAUCUCCAUACAAGAUUGAUUGUAAGUAUUUAACUAAAACUGAGCAAUUCUUGUAGCCUCUUCACUCUUUGUUCCAUUGUGGAGUAUGGCUUAUCUUCACUUUUGUAAUGCAGGACAACUUGGACCAGCGUGUGGACGUAACGGACUCUAGACUGCAGGUUUUUAACUUGAUUAACUUUUCAUACUUCACGGCAUACUAGUUAUUAUUCUCGUACUGUUGUGAACAUGAAUUUACCAAUAUGCCACUCUAAGAAUUUACCAAAACAAACUAAUUAUGCGUGAUUAUCUCACGAGUUAAUCGUUGUUCCAAGAAAGUUGAUGGAGACGGCCAUUCUGAAAGUGUAGGAGAGCCUCUACUUAUGUUUUAUUUCGUAAUUGAUGCAGCGGGUACGAAAGAGACUGGAAAUACUGAACAAGCGUACAAAAGCCGGCUGUUCGUGCAUGUGCUUGCUCUUAUCGGUUGUUGCCAUAGUGAUACUGGCUCUUGUAGCUUGGGCUCUCAUCAAGUACUUGUAGGAACUGGGCAAGAACUGCUCCAUGUGCACCGUUGAUGUGGAAUAUGCAGCACUCGAAGGAGAAACAGCCUUUUCCUCUAUGUAUGAUGCAAGUUUCAUUUCGUUUUCGUUUGUAAAGAGCUAAAGCUGUUGCGGAGUCUAAUGUCUGUAAGAAGAUCUAUGAAGUCUGGAUUUAAUGCAUGUUGUGGUUCUAAGACUGUCGGAAAUGAGUUGCUUAAAGAGUACUAUAUUUGCAAUUGUUUGCUUUCUUCAUGAUAAAGCAAUUAGUGAUCUUUACCUUGUUCUUUGCAUGGCACAAAUUAUAAUAUUACUCGGCCGACGCUUCGAAAAUCUUCAACUUAUUCAGUGAAGAAGAAUGGGGGAAGGUUCUGGCUCUGACUGUUUAGAGUAUUCUUCUGUUCUGUAAGUCCGGAAAAACAGAUUUUCGCUUCCCUGGAAGUAAAUAUCUGGGAAAGAUAUACAACAUAAA
RNAcentral lists this long non-coding RNA (64175 nucleotides) under Ananas comosus (pineapple). Its description in RNAcentral is "long non-coding RNA (ACOM_LNC014065)". The record is from RNAcentral. Lineage: Eukaryota; Viridiplantae; Streptophyta; Magnoliopsida; Poales; Bromeliaceae.